Molecule: long non-coding RNA, 82659 nt
Filed under: Olea europaea (common olive)
Lineage: Eukaryota; Viridiplantae; Streptophyta; Magnoliopsida; Lamiales; Oleaceae
Description: long non-coding RNA (OEUR_LNC003722)
Source: RNAcentral
AUUGGAAUGUUGAGUGCACAAUGGUUAUUAUUCUUAUUCAUAAUUGGGAUUUGGGCCUGAUUUUAUUUAGAAUAGAAGAGGUCCAAUUGCCCAAAAAAGGUCCAAAACCUAAACAUAAAGAGGCCAAAAACAUGAUUCUAUACCUGUGUAAUCGUGUCGUUUCUUCUUCCUCCGACUUCCAUCAGCACCUGCUGUAAAUUCCACCCUGCGGCACUAUAAACUCCGACUGGUUCCGCCCCUUAUUCACAACAUCACUCAUCAGCCCAAAUAAAAGGGCCAAAACAUUCAUCUUCUUCCUCAGCUUCUCUUCCACAAUUUGGCCUCUGCAACUUGUUAAAAAUAAAAAAUAAAAAAAUGAAACACUUUGGGCAAAAAACAGGCCCCCUUAGAUUGUGGGCCUGAGGCCCCAACCUCAUUUGCCUCAUGGCAAGACCGGCUCUGCGAAUAAUAAAGAUUAGCAUCUUCUUUCUCUUUUGCAUAUUUUGUUUCGAUGUUCAUGCAGGAUGGAUUAUGAUAAUUGUACCAUAUAAGAAACAUUAUUUUGAAAAUUUUAAAUUGAUGAAUUUUGACACGGGUAAUCAAUUUAAUGACAUAGUUUAGUUUGUGACUAUUUUAUUGCUAAGAGAAUGAAGAUAGCGCCUCACACAGAGAUAAGAAGACAUGGCUGGCUUCUUUCUUGCCAUAGAAAUGAAAAGGGAACAGAUAUAAACACAAAACUAGGGGACAUCAUAAAUGGGCCAAAAAAAUGUGUAAAUGGGUUAAGCCCUUUAAUGGGCCAUAAGUAACCAUGCAUUGAAAUGUGACUUCAAAUGGCCCAUUUAUUUUUUGAGUAGAGCUAUUAAUUUGGGUUUCGCCUUGUGGUGUUAAUUACCUAUUUCAAUCCUUGACCGAAGCCUAUGAAAUUAAACUUUAAAAAUAAUUGCCUAUAUGAGGUUGUUUGACAACAAAAUACCCAAGAAGUCUCCAUCUUGAUGCUAACGAACCUUUAUACAAAGAAGCUAAACUUAGUUCUCUCUCUCUCUCUCUCUCUCUCUUAGCACUUUUACCUACAAAAGAAACAAUAUCAUAUAUUCGUGACAACUUCAAAAGGAGAGCCAAUAAAAUUGAAAAUUAUUCACCUCCACUGAUAUUUAGAAGAUUCAAGCAACUUCUGAACUUCACCAAGACUAACACCUUAGUUCCCAUGUCCAAGGGAAUAUAUUGUAAAAGCUCUUUUUCAAACUUUAUCAUCUCUUGUGAGAUAAUGUCUGUAAUGAAAUGUGGUUUAAUAUCAAUGUGUUUGGUGUGUUCGUACAAAUUGAGAUUUUUGCAAAAAUAUAUAGAAAAUUGAUAUCGGAGUAUACAACCACACAUCAUUUUACCACACAAAGUUCAUAAAGCAAACUUCUAAGCCACAAAACUUCUUUAAUUGCUUUGAUAGUAACAAUAUAUUUUGAUUUGAUCGUGGAUAGUUCAACUAUGAGUUGUAAUUGAGAUUUUCAAGUGAUACAAGAGUUAAACAAUGUAAGUACAUAGAAGGAAGUAGAAUUCGUAUUAUCCAUAUUUCUUGCAUAGUCCAUAACUACAAAUUUCCUUCGAUUUUACUCCUUUCUUAUUAACACCAAACUUUAAACCUACAUCACUAGUCCUUUUCAAAUAUCUAAGUAAUCACUUCAAAGCCUCCCAAUGUAACGCCCAAAAAAAUAUAAAAAUUAGAAUAAAAAUGUAUUUGUUUUAUAUGUUAUAUUUAUAUUUAAAAAAAAUGAGGACUAAAAUGAAAUGUGUCAUAAAUUCAUAAUCCUAUAUGAGUCAAGUAAUUAAAUUUCGAAAGAACAAGUAUAAGUAUAUCAAUAUUGGGCUUAUUGGAUAGCUCGUAAUUAUUUAUAUAUAUUAUUCCCGAGAAAAAGGCAAUUUGGAUAAGUUAGACUCUAGAUAUUGAAGUUUAUAGACUUUAUCACUUAUUAGUAAUUGUUUAUAAUUAUUAUUAAGUUUUUUAAGAAUGGCAACACUUGUAGUUGGAUAGGGUUGGAAUAAAAUAGUGUUUUUUUUUGUAUGAAUGAUAAUAUAUAUAGUCAAUUUUCUUGAGAUAGUACACAAUAACCAUGACCUUUUGCUCCCAUGAUGUCAACCGUCCUUGAUUGAGAAUUUGGCAAUUGCCUUAUUUGAAUUGAAAUGAAUUGUGUGUGUAUAUAUAUAUAUAUAUAGUCAACUUUCUUGGGAUAGUACACAAUAACCAUGACCUUUUGCUCCCAUGAUGUCAACUAUCCUUGAUUAAGAAUUUGACAAUUGCCUUAUUUGAAUUGAAAUGAAUUGGAUACGUGUAUAAAUAAAAGGCAAAUUAGUAAAUUGAGCCACUAAUAUGGGAAAACGUGUGGCUUUAUUAGGUUAUAUAAAUAUUAUAGAUAGAAAAUACUUGUCUACCUAAAUAAGCAUUGCACGUUGAAAAUACAAAAAUAAAUAAAAUUGUCAUAUCUUUAAUUGAUUAAAAGGGGGAGAUCCACACACUGCACAAAUAAGGGGGAGUCUUAGAACGUGAAACUACUGCCUUUCUUUCAAGACAACUCUUUUCAUCAAUCAAGAUAGGACUACGAAGUGCAAGUAUUUUGUCCCGUCUAAAUUAUAUUUUUUCAUGUUGAUAAAUUAUUAUACUUAUGAAAGUUAUGAAAUUAUAUGAUGAUUAUGAUAUGAUAUGAAACGACUAUCCGGUACCAAAGAUAUGAUAUAUUAUGAGCUCUUACCAAUUUCAAAUGAUAUGAUGACAGUAUAAUUUUUUUUAAAGCAUGAUCUAAAUAUUUUAUUCGGGAUCGCACCACUAUUUUCAUGUCCUACUGAGUAUAUCCAUGUAUUCACUUUUUUCCCUAAUCCUCACAGGUUAGAACGUGUCAUUGGUUGACGGGCAAUGCGGUGUUGUCGUGAUACGAGGACUUAUGGGACAGACUAAAAAUAAUCCGGAGUAAUAAGAAAAUGUUCUUUUAUGUUAGGAAUUUAUUAGUUUUAAAUUCACAAAAAAGUUUUAAAUUUGAAAUUUUAAACAUGUCUAAUUAAGGAUUAAGUAUAAAACUGUGAUUUGUUUUAUUGGUGGAAAAUUUUAUUUGUUAAUGUAUUUAAAAUAUAUCAUGUUUGGUAGCAAUUUAAAUUACAAAAAUUUGGGUAGUUACAGUUUGGUAUUAUAGCCUAGGUUUAUUUUUUUAUAGACCCAUUAUGAUUUUUUUAUGUGAUUAAAAAAAACUAUUUGUUAGUGAACAAUGACGACAGUACUGUUCACGAUGAACAGUACCAUGUCACUGUUCGUCGUGAGCAGUGAAAAAAAUUUCAAGUAAUUAUGGUCAUAGGUUAUGAUUAAAUAAAGUGCUUAUCGUGAUUAAUGUUUAAGUCAAAUCACAUUACUUGAAAUCUAGCCCUCGUUUGCCUCAAGAAAAAUCAUUAAAUUUCCAACUUUUUCAAACAUUACCAGGCUCCACAUAUAAAUGAUAGUUGACAGUACACUUAUGUGGUUCGCAAGGGUUUGACUACUAAAUUGAUUAAUGCAUAAAAUGACAUCUGUGCCCCUAGUUUUGCCAUCUUGUUGAGUGAUGGCAAGAGUAAGAAUGGCAUUACAUAAAAUGGGAGGUACGUAAGUUAAUGGGAUUCAAACGGGUGGCAUUGAGGAUUGGGAAAUGCUUACAAUGUUUAAAAAAAAAGAAGAAUUAUUAUGGUAUUUGCACACAAAACUUGGUGUUCUAAUAUGUUGCAUAUAAUACAUGUGGCAAAAGAGUAUGUUGGCAAGAGUCUACAUUACAGUUAUAUGGAUGAAUAUUGUAUAAUGAUGCUUAUUUUUUAGCAGGCAAAAAAAUAAAUCAAUAAAAAUAAUAAUACAGUAUAAUAACUGUAAUUUAUAAUAUCAAAGGUUACAAUGCUUGUUUGAAUUAUAUUUAAUAUUUUAUGCUAAUAGAGGAUGUUGUAACCCGUAGGCAUAUCUCUUAUCCAUUGUGUUUGUAUAUUAUUAAUCACUUCUUUAAAAAAAUAAAAAAUAAAAAGAACGACCUUUGGUACUCAACGACCAUCGAUCGGCCACCAUCCAAUGACUUUGAGGUAUGUAAAAGGGUAAGAAGAUUAAUGUACUUAGACCUUGCAUAACUUAAAUAUUUUAAAUUGUCUGUCUUUAAUUUUACAAGACAGGCAUAUUUAUUUCCUCGUCAACUUUACGAUAUGUUUCAUAAUAAAAUAAGUGUAAUAUCUUAGACUUAAUACUAAUAGAUGAUGAGUGAUUUAAUGUUAAAUUUUAGGAAAUGACACCACCUACUCACACAAAUUUGAUGCGUGACUUGUUGCAAGCAGUGCAAUAAUUACUAGACAGAAUCAAGUAUCUCCACCACAAAAAUUGCUACCACAGCAAAAUGCACCUCUAUCUUUCCCUAGAGCUGUUUCCAUGGUUGAGCAGUUUCGUAGGUACAUGCCUCCUACUUUCGAUGGAAAUUCUGACCCACUGGCUGUUGAGGAGUAGAUUAGAGGUUUGGAACUCAUUUUUCGACAUAUUUCUUUCACGGAUGCACAGAAGGUACUAUGCGAAGAAUUCAUGUUGAUUGGAGCAGCCGAUCAAUGGUGGGAAUCUGUCUCACGCACUAGGACCAAAGAGCAACAGCAUAACCUGACUUGGGAACAAUUUAAGGAAGAAGUGAUGGCAAAGUACUUCCCACAAGUUUUGAGAGACUUCAAGGAAUUAGAGUUUCUACAACUUAGUCAGGAAAACAUGUCGCUUACUGAAUACGAGAGAUAGUUUGAAUAGCUCUUAAGGUAUGCCCCGCACUCAGUAGAUAUAGAAGUCAAGAAGAUCAGGAGGUUUGAAAAUGGACUACGCCCGAAAAUUGGCAUGAUUAUUAUGUCAUAUCGUUUCACUUCAUAUUGUGCAAUGUUGGAGAGACUUCAUACUAUAUUAUAUCAGAGGACUACAUUUGAGCAGUAUGCCCAAUAGUGCAAGGAGUUGUUAGGAAAAAGAAAGUGGAAUAAUCAGAGCAACGAGAAAUGUAGCUGGUAGAAUAAAAGGCCAAGCCUAGGAAUUCAUAUCGAUGGGUUGAGUGGAGGUAUUACACCAUGCCCUAAGUGUAAUAAACCUCAUAGGGUUGAAUGCUUAUUCGGGAAGAACAUAUGUUUCCGAUGUGGUAAGCCAAAGAAUAUCGCUUUGCACUACACAGUGCCUCCAGGAAAGAACAAGAAAGAGAAGGCUCGAGUUUUUGCAUUAAAUCAGCAUGAGGUGGAGCAAGAUUCGAAUGUGAUAGCAGGUAUUUUAUUAUUAUUUGAAGUAUUUGUCUAUGUUCUUGAUUUUGCAUUCCCCGUCACUAAGUCUAACAAUAUAAUUACAAAAAUAGGUAUUCUGUUAUUACUUGAUGUACCUGCUUAUGUACAUUUUGACUAUGGGCCUACAAUUUCUUUUAUCCCUACAUCAUUCGUCACUAAGUAUGACAUUGCAUAUGUGAAAACGGAUAAUGCAUUAGAGAUUAGCAUCCCUUCAGGGAGAACUCUUUGUACAAAUUAGAUGACUAGAGCUACAAAGUUAGAGAUUGAUGGAAAUGUACUACUGGCGAACUUAUACCUUUUGGAGAUGAAAGAUUUUGACAUUAUUUUAGGCAUGGACUGGUUAGGACUCAAUCAUGCAACCAUUCGAUGUCAUGACAAAGAAGUGUUAUUUCACAAACUGGGAAAGGAAGAGUUUGGUUUCUUUGGAGCAAAGUCCAAGACUCUAUCUCACCUUGUGUUAGCCUUACAAGCGGAGAAGAUGUUUAAAAUAGAGUCAUGUCAAGGAUUCGUAGUAGAUAUCAACGAUUCCAAACAUGCAGAAACAACCGUUAAAGAUAUUAACAUUGUACGAGAUUUUGCAUAUGUAUUUCCAAAAGACCUACUUGGCAUUCCACGACAUAGGCAAAUGAAAUUUACAAUUGACUUAGUUCCUGGCGUGGCACCAGUAUCCAAGGCUCAGUACCGAAUGGUACCAAAGAACUCCAAGAAUUGAAGUUACAAUUGGAGGAGUUACUGAAAAAAUGUUUCAUUCGACCAAGUGUAUCUCCUUGGGGCAUUCUAGUACUUUUGUAAAGUAGAAGGAUGAGAUAUGAGGAUGUGCAUUGACUAUCAAGAAUUGAAUAAUUUAACUAUCAAAAAUAGACACCUCCUACCAAGAAUAGAAGACUUAUUCGACCAGUGAAGGGGUGGAACGGUGUUUUUUAAGAUUGACUUGAGAUUGGGGCAUCAUCGGCUGAAGAUCAAGGCAAGCAAUAUACCAAAAAUUGCUUUCAGAACUCGAUAUGGGCAUUACGAGUUCACUGUCAUGUCUUUCAGUUUGAUCAAUGCUCCAGAGGUAUUUAUGGACCUAAUGAUCAAAGUGUUUCAUUAGUAUUUGGACCAGUUCAUCAUAGUAUUUAUUGAAGAUAUAAUUGUGUAUACCAAAGAUAGGAAAUAGCAUGAGGAACAACUUCGAGUAGUACUUGAUACUUUGAGGAAGGAAAAAUUAUAUGCCAAAUUCAAGAAAUUCGAAUUUUGGCUUGAUCGCAUAAGUUUUCUUGGUCAUGUGGUUACCGCCCAAUGAAUUGAAGUAGACCCAGUUAAAGUGGAAGCAGUAACUAAUUGGCCUAGCCCAUCCAGUGUAAGUGAAGUUCACAGUUUCUUAGGGUUAGCUAGCUAUUAUCAAAGAUUUAUUAAGGGUUUCUCAAAAAUAGCAAGUCGAAUACUCGGUUGACUCGAAGGGGGUGAAAUUUCAAUGGAUGAAAAAAUGUGAGAAGUGUUUUCAGGAACUUAAAUAGAGAUUAGUCAGGCUCUUGUUCUAACUAUACCUUAAGGUUCUAAUGGGUUUGUAAUUUAUAGCGAUGCCUCUAAAUAGGGCUUGGGUUAUGUUUUGAUGUAAUAUGGAAAGAAGAUUGCUUAUGCCUUGAGAUAGUCAAAACAGUACGAGCAGAACUAUCCAACUCAUGACUUUGAACUAGUAGCAGUAGUUCAUGCCCUAAAGAUAUGAUGUCAUUAUCUCUAUGGUAGGAGAUGUGAAAUCUACACAAACCACAAGAGCCUUAAAUACGUCUUCAAACGAAGGAACUAAACAUGAGACAGAGAAGAUGGUUGGAAUUAGUGAAAGAUUAUGACUGUACAAUUCAUUACCAUCUAAGUAAGGCUAACAUAGUCGCAGAUACUUUAAGUAAGAAAAUAGGAUCGUAGUUAGCAGUCUUACCCACAGGGCAGGAACACUUGAUAAAGGACUUUAAGAAACUGAGAUUCGAAGUCAUCACACCGUUGACUCAGACUACAACGAGAAUAAGAGCAUUUAUGAUUCGACCUACUCUUCGGGAUCGAAUUAAGGAAGUAUAUGAUAAGGAUUCAUUUCUACAGAAGAUUAAAGCUGAGAUUGGGACAAAUAAAAGUAUGGGAUUUGAAGUAUCUGCGGAUAACACGUUGACUUUUAAAGGAAGGUUGUGUGUACCUAAAGAUGAAAGAAUAAAAAAUGAGAUAUUGGAAGAGGCUCAUUCUGCCUCGUAUAUUGCACAUUCAGGAGGUAUAUUAAGAUCUCUAAGAUACCUUUUGGUGAAGAACAUUAAAAGAAAAGUUGGGCUGGUCGUGGAAAAAUUAUCAUCUGUCUGCAAGUUAAGGUAGAACAUCAAAGGCCAUCAGGAUUGCUGAACCCGUUGGAUAUUCCAGAAUGGAAAUAGGAACACAGAGCGAUAGAUUUUGUGGUAGGUUUUUCGAGGUAACAACGGGUCACAAUGCUAUAUGGGUAGUAGUUGAUCAUUUGACGAAGUCAGCUCAUUUCCUGUCAAUCAAAGUAAAUUUUAGUAUAGAAUAGCUCGCAUAGUUAUAUAUGAGAGAGAUAGUCAUACUGCAUUGAAUUCCUGUCACCAUUGUUUCAGAUAGAGACUCAAGAUUCACAUUAGAAUUUUAGAAAAGUUUGCAGGCAACCAUAGGGACGAAAUUGAAGUUUAGUACUGUUUAUCAUCCAUAGAUAGAUGGACAAUCAGAAAAAACCAUUCCAACUCUUGAAGAUAUGUUGAGAGCAUGUGUUUUAGAUCUUGACAGAAGUUGGGAGACACUACUAUCAUUGGUGGAGUUUGCUUACAACAAUAGUUUUCAGGCCAUUAUAGGUAUGGCCCCAUAUGAAGCUCUUUAUGGUAGAAAGUAUAUAUCCCCUAUCCAUUGGGACGAGGUCAGGAAGAAUAGAAUUUUGGGUCCUAAAAUCAUUGAACGAAUGGUUGAGACGGUUGAUAAGAUUAAAGCAAGAACAAAGGCAACACAAGACUGACAGAAAAGUUAUGCUAACGGCAGGAGAUAAGAUUUAGAAUUUCAAGUGGGUGACAAAGUUUUCCAAAGGUAGCACCAGUGAAGGGUGUGCUGAGGUUUGGAAAGAAAAGGAAGCUGAGGCCUCAGAUCAUCAGACCUUUUGAAAUUCUUGAAAGUAUUGGUAGUAUGGCUUACCGACUUGCCUUAUCAUCUGAAUUGGCAGCAGUACAUAUCGUGUUUCGUAUUUCAAUUCUGAGAAAAUAUGUCCAAGACCCUAAUCACGUGGUAAAUUACCAAACUUUAGAGGUACAAAAUGACCUGUCAUAAGAAAAAACCCAAAUGAUGAUUUUGGAAAGAAAAGUGCAUCAACUCAGAAACAAAGAAGUUCCACUGGUCAAGGUGCUAUGACAUAAUCAUGGACUAGACGAGUCAACAUGGGAGAAGGAAGAUGAGCUUAAAAUCAAAUACCCAAAACUCUUCAAUUAGUUGAGGUAAUUUUCAAGGACGAAAUAUUUAAGGUGGGGAGAUUGUAAUGCAAAAAAAAAAAAAAAAAAAAAUUAAAAAUGUAUUUUUUUUAUAUGUUAUUUUUAUAUUUAAAAAAAUGAGGACUAAAAUGAAAAAUGUUUUAAAUUCAUAAUUCUAUAUGUGUCAAAUAAUUAAAUUUCGAAAGAGCAAAUAUAAGUAUAUCAAUAAUGGGCUCACUGGAUAGCUUGUAAUUAAUUAUAUAUAUUAGUCCUGAGAAAAAGACGAUUAAGAUAAGUUAGAAUCUAGAUAUUGAAGUUUAUAGACCUUGUCACUUAUAAGUAAUUGUUUAUAAUUAUAAUUAAUUUUUUUAAGAAUGGCAACACGUGUAGUUGGAUAGGGUUGGAAUAAAAUAGUAUUUUUUUUGUGUACUAUCACAAGAUAGUUGAAUAUAUAUAUAUAUAUAUAUAUAUAUGUUCUUUGUUAAUAACUUGCUAUGAUAUUUCAAUUUUCAAGCAAACUCAUUUUUAAUUAUACAUUCUUCUAAUAAAAUAAUUUUGUACACGAAUUCAUAAUUUUUUUUCCUACUUUUCGAUCACAUUUCUCAAAAAAUGUUUUUCACAAAGUUUAUCAAGACCACUUUUUGGCAUCAUUUUCUUGUGAUAGUGCACAAUAACCAAGACCUUUUGCUCCCAUGAUGUCAGUCAUCCUUGAUUGAGAAUUUGGUGGUUGCCUUAUUUGAAAUGAAAUGAAUUGGAUACGUGUAUAAAUAAAUUGCAAAUUAGUGAAUUGGGCCACUAAUAUGGGAAAACAUGUGGCUUUAUUAGGUGAUAUAAGUAGUAUAGAUAGAGAAUCCUUGUCUACCUAAAUAAGCAUUGCACGUUGAAAAUACAAAAAUAAAUAAAAUUGUCAUAUCUUUAAUUGAACCAAAAGGGGAGAUCCACGCACUACACAAAUAAGGGGGAGUCUUAGAACGUGAAACUACUGCCCUUCUUUCAAGAAAACUCUUUUCAUCAAUCAAGGUAGGACUACGAGGUGCAAGUAUUUUAUCCUAUCUAAAUUAUAUUUUUUUCAUGUUGAUAAAUUAUUAUACCUAUGAAAGUUAUGAAAUGAUAUGAUGAUUAUGAUAUUAUAUGAAACGGCUAUCUGUCUAUCUUUGAGCACAAUUGACUCAAAGGGUCAUAAAUACAUUGGUGAAUGUGGAGUUUGAAGGUGGGUCAGGGCACUCUUGUUGUCAUGAAAGGAUAAAAAAACUCUACACAAUCGUAUAUCUUGUAAGGUUUCAUAUUAAUACGAGAUGUAACAGUUUCUACUUCUUCUUUGAUUGAUGAAAAAGUUACUAAACUUUGGCAUAUGUGACAUAGGCAUAUGAAUAAGAUAGGUAUGACAGAGUUGAGUAGGAGAGGACUUCUUGAUGGGCAGAAGACCAGUAAGAUGAAGUUUUGUGAGCAAUGUGUCCUUGAAAAAAAAAAGAGCUGGAUUCACCAAAGGAAAACAAAACAUGAAGGAAACACUUGAAUACAUCCAUUCAAGUCUUUGGGACCUGUCAAGGUACCUUCACAAGAAGAUGUUUAUUACUUGUUGACAAUGAUUGAACACUUCUCCCUGAAAGUAUACGGAUAAUGUGUUUGGGACCUUUAAGGAGUGGAAAACAUUGAUAGAAAAACAGAUUGGAAAACAGGUGAAAUGUCUACGCACAGAUUAUGAAUUGGAGUUUUGUUAGAUGAAUUCAAUAGCUUCUGUAAGGCGAAGGCAUCUUGAGACAAUUAACAGUGGAAACUCCUCAACAGAAUAAUGUGACAGGACGGAUAAAUAGAAUUUGAUGGAAAGGGUUCUUAACAUGCUUUCAAUUUUGGAUGCAUAAUACUUUUUGGGAUGAAGCUGCUACUGCAACUUAUUUUCUGAUUAAUUGCUCACCCUCAAUGUCAUUGAAAAAAAGACACCAGAAGAAGUAUGGUCUAGUAAACCUUCUUACCAAAAGAGGUAUGGUCCGGUAAACUUUCUUAUCAUUCUGAUUUAAAAAUAUUUAGUUAUCCUACUUAUGCUCAUGUGGGUCUAGAAAGUGUAUCUUUCUUAGAUAUAAAUUAGUUGCAAAGGGAUAUAUAUUGUAGUAUCCUGAGAUAAGAAAGGUUGUGGUUAAUAAGAUGUAAAAUUUGAUCAACUUGCUAAGGUUCAUGGUUUACCUCUUAGGAUUCUGAUAAAACUAAGGAACGAAAUCAUUCAACUCGGGUAAAGUUAGAAAUUGGUCCAAUGGGAACAAUCAGAAAUUACAAAACAAUCUACUAUGGAUCAAUCUAGUCUGGAAUUAACAAACAGCAAUACUUUGCCUACACCAUAGUAUUCAAUUGCUAACAAUAGAACUCACAGAUAGAUUAGACCUCCACAGAAGUAUGGAGAAGCAAUUUUGGUAGCUUAUGCAUUGAAUGUGGCUGAAGAUAUUAAUUCCACUGAGGAGCCUAUUCAGAGGUAGACAGUUGCAAUGAUUCUAGCAUAUGACUAUUUUUAUGCAAAAAGAGAAGGGAUCAUUCAAUAAAAAAAGUACUCAGGACUUUGUAAAAUUACCUAAGGAUAAAAGGGUUGUUCGCUACAAGUGAGUGUUCAAAAUAAGAAAGUGGCAUCAAGGAUUAAAGAUACUACGUAUAAGGCUAGACUAGUAGCAAAGGAUUACAAUCAGAUUCCAGUUGUUGACUUUAUAGAUGUGUUUUCACCAAUUGUAAAGCAUAGUCCAAUUCGGGCUUUGCUUGGAUUAGUAACAAAGAAUGAUUUGGAGUUUGAAUAGAUAGAUGUCAAUUUAUAAUUCUUUCAUAAAGAAUUUGAGGAGAACAUUUACAUACAACAACUAGAGGGUUUCAUAGUUUCUGGGAAGAAAGACUAUGUGUUCUUGUUGAAGAAGUCCAUGUAUAGACUAAAGCUGUCAUUGAAGAAGUGGUAUAAAAGGUUCAAAUCAUUCGUUACUUCUUAUAGUUUUAUUAGAAGUAGUUAUGAUAGUGGUGUGUACUUCAGAAAGGAAGAUAGUGGAUCGAUCACAUAUUUGUUAUUAUAUAUUGAUGACAUGCCCAUAAAAGCCAAAGACAAAUCCGAGUUUAGGAAGAUGAAAUCAUAACUUAGUAAGGAGUCCGAGAUAAAAGAUUUGGAUGCAGAAAAAAAAAUUCUUUGUAUGGAAAUUUUGAGGGAUAGAAAGGCUGGUAGAUUGUACUUCAGUCAAAAGGGGUACAUUGAGAAUGUGCUUCAAAGGUUCGAUAUACUAAAUGCUAAGGCUAUCAAUGAUCCAUUUGUUACCCACUUCAAACUAUCAUCUAGAUUGUGUCCUCAAUCACACGAAGAUGUUGAUUAUAUAUCUCGGGUUCAUUAUUUCAGUGUAGCUAGUUCAUUUAUGUAUACUAUGGUUUGUACAAUCCAGAUUUGACACAUGCAGUUAGUGUAGUUAGUAGGCACAUGGCAAAUCCUGACAACUAACAUUAGAAAACAGUACUAUGGAUAUUUAGAUACUUUAAGGGCUCUACCAAUGCUUGCUUGUAUUUUGGUAGAAAUACGGAUGGGAUCAUUGGAUAUGUGGAUUCAGAAUAUAUAGGGGAUCUUGAUAAUAGGAGAUCAUUUACAUGGUAUUUGUUUACCCUUGGAGGCUGUGCUACCUAUUAAAAAUCUACUUUGCAAAAUACAGUAGUUUUGUCAAUAAGACAUCAAAUGCCGUGUUUUUUUUAUCCAUUACUAGUUGCACUUUUGUUGUCAAUAAGACAUCAAAUGCCGUGUUUUUUUAUCCAUUACUACUUGCACUUUUGUGAUUAAUUGAUACCUAAAUAUAUUUAGUACCCUUAUAUUUUGAUUUAGGUUACAAUUGGAUGAAAAUCAUGAAAGUUGGGAGAAUGGAGUGAAAAAUGACCAACAUGAAAGCAAGUAAAGUUGAGGGACCAAGUUGCAAAUAAUUCAUAGAUUAGACGGACGAUGAAAUGAAGAUUUAAGAGUGUUAGAGAUCAAUUGGAUGAGGAAAGAAGACAAAAAGAUGAAAUAUAACUGAAGUAUUAUCACAUGUCAACUUCCAAGCAAAAAAGUUAUGCUCUAGAUUUCUAGCCUAUGUUUGAAACCCAUUUUUGGCAUAGUAAACUUGCAAAUUGGAAAAAUUGUAUCUUAGCAAAUUCUAGCCGUUUUCAUUAGCUUUCCAACCAAUUUAAAUCACCUCAAUUGAAUGUUGGGAGAGAAAGUUAUGACCAAAAUACUAAAAUCUGUUCGACGAGCAGCAAAACCAUGUGGUUGCACACCUAGCUUCAGAGAACUUGAAGGCUGAAAAUAGUUGUUCUAUGCGACCUCAACCAUUUGAACCAUGCAUUCGCAUGAUUCAUCUCCGAGGCGUGAUUUUUAGUUUUUAAAUUUCAUUCAACUACUCAUGGAAUCAAAUCUUGUAUGCGAUAUAUACCCCAAAUCUCGUCCAAAACCUAGAGAAUGCCCUCAAACCUAAUUUUUUUUUUGUGCUCUUAAUUUAUAAUGUGUAACUAAUUCACUUGUUUAAUCGAAGGAGACGGAAGCCUUGGAACAAUUAUAGCUAUGAGAUCAACCUAGGUUUUAUUGUUUAAUUCAUAUGUUUAGUAUCAAAUAUUCUUCUACAUGUAUUUAUGGUUGUUGUGUUUAAUUGUUAGGAUGCAUACUAGUUUAUUAUUCUCCACAAUCUAUGGCUAAGUUAAACAUCAAAUCCGUAAUUGUUUGGUCAAUUUAACUUGCGAAGCAACUAGGAUUAAUGAUUUACUGGUUUGAAAAUUAUUGAAUCUUAGAAAUAAUAUUUAUUUAGGUUAAAUGCAACCACGUGUACUUAGUUCAUUGAUUUCUCUAGUUCAUAAAGCAAUUAUUGAAUUAAAUCUUUGCGCUUGUCCGAGAUUGUUCAAUAAUUAAGAUUAAUUGGAUCGCUUGUUUCCAAUUAAUUAAAACUAAAGAGAAAUAGGAAAUCAUUUUUAAUGGAAAAUUAUUUUCCACAAUGAAUGCUAAAAUUGUGAAUUAAUGAUUAUUUGUGGAUCAAUGACUGGUUACAGAUUUCCAAUAGUGGAUAUUGACUUAGAUCAAGGUCCAUUAGAUUGAUUUCAUUUAAUUCAUUGAUUUGCUUUGAUAUUAAUUAUUUCCUUAAUAAUUGAUUGUUUCAAAACAAAAACCCCCCAUUUUCAUUAAUCUAGAUAGAAAAUAGACUAAACACUCUUCAUGGGAUUGACUCUUACUUCCACUAUUGCAUUAAUUUUAAGAAGUAUAAGUUUUAAUUUGGGGGUGUCUAUGUUAACACUCAACAUUUGUCUACAAUAGAUGUGGAGUACAUGGCCAUUAUAGAUGCAUGUAAGGAGGCUAUGUGGUUGAGAUAAUCGAUUGGUGAAAUAAGUGAAGACUUACUGAUUUCUAUGUUCUAUAGUAUAUUGUGAUUGCUUGUCGCAAUAUUGUAGUGAGCAAAGUUGAUGCCAAGGAUAAUCCUGAUGAUAUGAUGUAAAAACUACUUUCCAUUGCUAAGUUUAAGCACUGCUUGAACUUAGUUAGUGUUUAUCAUUGAUUUAGCCCAUUUGAGCUUAUUUAGAAGAGAGUGAGUGAUGUUUAUUUUAGAGAUAUGUUUUUGGAAUUCCUUGUAUUGAAAUUUAGUUUGAGGUGGAGAUUUAUUAUAGUUUGUCCCAAAUUCUAGUAGGUAUUAGAGUUUUGGUUGAAGUGGCCUUUAAGAGAUCAUAAUCAUAGACUAGAAAGAAAAGUUGUCUCAUUUUCACUAGCUUGUUGCAAGUUGGCUGCUUGAGUGGCACCUACAUAUUUUCUACAUAAACUCGUAGCUUUUUUGUCUUCUGCCUACCAUUCAAGCAGCUGAGCUGUCGCUUGUCCCUCGAGUGACAAGAUUAUAUAGCCAGGCCCGUUUUGCUUUUUUACACGUUUUUGGACUCCUAUUCAUCUACAACUUGAUUUACAGGAUUUUAUAUAUAUGUCACGGUUUGUAAUGUUAUCAUAAUAUUCAUACAAUAUCUUGAGAGUUUUAAAUCUUAAUUGAGAGUAUCGAGAUCUUGUUGUAAGCAUAAUUAUUAUUGAUUAUAGUGGUUUUCUCCUCCGCUGUCUAUUAGUUUAGUACCAUUGAUUAUUGAAUUGACUGCUUGACUAUGCUGCAUUACUGGACCCGUCUUACCUUUCCUUUCCUGCGAUUUUUCUCAUCUUGGGUUUCCUCAUAAAUCUUAGUAUUCUUAUUUUGUUCUUAUUUAUUUCAUUAUUGUCAUUAUCUUGCGAUCAAUCUCUAACAUUUAGAAUUUACAUUCGUUUGGUUUGCUAUGUUCAGAUUACGUUUUUGGCUUUUGCAAUGAAGUUGCAAAAUUCAAAGUGAGAAGGUAAAGAAUUUGAAUGCCUCUAGCAACCUUCACAUUGUUAAGCUAGGUUGAUAUUAUUAAGUUAAGCUCAUGGACUAAGUGAUGUGUCUUAGUACUACUGAAUGGAAGGAGAGUGUCAAGUAACUUCAACCCCGAUGUAUAAGGAGAGUGUAAGGCAACCUUAUUUUAUUCAAUUGAUAGCACGAUGAUGCUUAAAAUUUACAUAAAGUCAUUUUAUUUAGCAAACUUUUAAAGCUUACCAUCGUUAGUUUGAAGGGGCUUGUUAAAGAAUAUUGUAAUUUGUCUUGCUUUAUUAGGCAUAUUUUGGUCCUUUCAUUUGUUAUGGUUAGAAGUCUAGAAUUUCUAUCAUCAUAGUACACAUUGAAUAGUACAACUUUGUUGAGUUUUAGAUAUGCACGCAAGUUCAUGAUAGUGAAAAGAUUCCCCAUUCAUCAGCCAAACGUGGCGAAAUCAAAUCGUCCAUAUCGUUUUGGUUUUUUACAUUUGGACCUUCAGAUCGACCAUUAUUCGUGUGGUCAUUUCAUUUUGAUUCCAUCCAUUUUUCUGUUAAAUAGACAUGUGCUCUGCAUUCACCAUGAUAAAGAAAAUAUUGCCCUCAAACUUUAUAUAUAUACAAAGGGACAAAAUAAAAAACCAAAAACAGGAAAAAAAAAAAAAACACCUAAUUCCCCGAACCCCACCCCCUGCCAAUCCUCUAAACAAGAAAAAAUUAUCUCUGAAAUUUUCUAGAUUUCCACAAAGAUAAAGACAAAAGUCUGAAUGAUAAAUGAAUUAUUUUCUAUAAAAGCCAAAUAUAGAGAUGAAUUAUUUCCACGCCUAGCAUGAAAUGGACAAGAUGAUAGAUCACAUGUGAAGCAGGGGACCAUAAUCCAACUUAUACUUACUGGACGAGCUAUGAACGUCAAGGUUACUUUUAAGUCUAAAAAUUACUUAUUUCAAAAGUAACAGCUAGUUGCGUUAUUGUCAUGACUAUAAAAUGUGCAAACACCAAGAAAAGUAAACAAACCUUAUCUAUAACAGCCAAAUCUAGUCACUGAAGAUGAAAAAUAAAAAUCAAAGAGAUCAAUCGUGUAAAUAACUAUCCCUAGUUUCAUGAUCAGUAGAUAGACUUGUAAGUAGCUAAUUUUCUAUAAGAUUCCUUGACUCAUUCAUCCAACUAAAAUUCUCAAAUGCAGAAAGUUCUUGGUUGAACAGUAAAGGCUGAACACAUCUAUGACGACAAAAGUUCUCACGAGGCCUUGGGCAGAUAGGAACUUUCUAAUAUAAGAAGUGGCAAAGUAUUAGCUACGAACCUCGUAUAGGAAUAUCGAUGGAUCUUCCACAAUGGCUGAAGGAAUACUUCCUGCUGUACAUGCUGUUGGCAUCAAUAUUACUGGUGCUUGGGUUCAAGUUUUUCUCAAACAAGAACUUCAAUAAACGAAAUCUUAAAACGCCCCCAAGCCCUUCAAAACUUCCCGUCAUUGGCAACCUCCAUCAACUUGGCAACAUGCCGCACCUCUCUCUUUACAAUCUAUCCAAGAGAUUUCCCCAUAAUUAGCUUACAACUUGGUCAGAUCCCAACGGUAGUGAUUUCAUCAGCAAGAAUGGCGAAGGAAGCAAUCAAAAACCAUGAUCUUGCACUUUCAAGCCGACCCCAGAUAUUUUCUGCCAAACAUCUUUUCUAUAACUGCACAGAUAUCGUUUUUUCUCCAUAUAGUGCUUAUUGGAGGCAUAUACGAAAAAUCACCAUAUUAGAGCUACUGAGUGCAAGGAGAGUCCAGUCCUAUGACUUUGUAAGAGAAGAAGAAGUUGCUCGUCUGAUUCAGCGUAUUGCAGAUUCAUACCCUGGCACCACCAACUUAACCAAGAUGCUAGCACUCUAUGCAAAUGAUGUUCUUUGUCGUGUGGUAUUUGGUAGAGAUUUCUCAGAAGGGGGAGAGUAUGAUCAGCAUGGAUUCCAAAAAAUGCUUGAGGAAUAUCAAGAAUUACUCGGUGGAUUUAGCAUCGGUGAUUUCUUCCCUUCUAUGGAAUUUAUGCACACAUUAACCAGAACAAAAUCACGACUUGUACACACUUUUAGGCGUUUUGACAAGUUUUUUGACGAGGUGAUUAAGGAUCAUUUAAGUCGAAAUAACAAAAAAGAUCACAAAGACUUUGUGGAUGUCUUACUUGAAGUACAGAAGAGUGAAGAUAUUGAAACGCCUCUCACCAUGGAUAAUGUUAAAGCAAUCCUCUUGGUCAGUGACUGCUUUUUAUGCUUCUUACAAUUCUUCAUAGUUAAGCUUUGCAGCCAUUCUUUGACUCCAUUUUAAUCGUCACUGUAGGACAUGUUUGCUGCGGGAACUGAUACAACCUUCAUUACCUUGGACUGGGGAAUGACAGAGCUUGUGACGAACCCAAGAGUACUGGAAAAAGCACAAGCUGAGGUAAGAAGCAUAGUCGGGGAAAGGAGAUUUGUAUCAGAAAGUGAUUUGCCCCAGUUGCACUACAUGAAAGCUGUUAUUAAAGAAAUCUUCAGAUUGCAUCCUCCUGCACCGGUACUCGUUCCACGAGAAUCCAUGGAAGAGAUUACCAUUGGUGGGUACACUAUUCCUGAAAAAACAAGGAUUUUCAUCAACGCUUGGGCAAUAGGCAGGGACCCAGAAUCUUGGCAAAAUCCGGAUCUUUUUGAACCUGAAAGAUUCAUGGGUAGCAAUAUUGAUUACAAGGGGCAAGAUUUUGAGCUAAUACCUUUUGGUACAGGCAGACGAAGCUGUCCAGCUAUUGCAUUUAGUUCUGCAACUGUUGAGCUUGCUUUGGCACAACUCCUUCACAGCUUUGAUUGGAAGCUUCCGACUGGUGUUCAAGUCAAGGAUCUCGAUAUGACAGAAGUUUUCGGCAUUACCAUGCAUAGGAUAUCCCCUCUAAUUACAGUGGCCAAACCAUACUUUUCUGAGAUCAAGAGCUCGCAACUUUAAAGAAAGAUGAAUAGCAAUUUAGGCAAAGAAUAAAAUUUUCUGUCAAUGGUUUUCAUAUUGUAGACAAUAAGAAAAGUCUCGUAUGUGAUUACGUAGAAAACCUCAAUAUUGUCAAGAUUAUUGUCUUCUUACAUUAUGUCAAAACUCAGAUAGCGGAGAACACUAGAUUAAAAACCGAGUCCAAAACUUAAACAUACUCAACACUUCACCUUCACUGUCCAAAACUAUGGAAACUUCCUUUCCCAGAAAGAAAAAUAUGAAUAAAUAAUGACAUUCUGCUAAAGAGAAGCAUCACGAAAGAGCCAAAAACUAGAACCAAAGUGGAAAUGAGCGUGAAUAACCAACACAUAAUAUAAUUCAACUACUGCUUGACAUGAAAAUCAACAAUAAUGGCAGAACUUAUAGUAAAAUUAAGGCAUGGCAUAAAUUCUAUUAACUCUAGAGUAUGCUAACUUGAAUCAAUCCACAAAGAAGAACACAUACACAAAAACAAGAUUAAUUUCACAAUUGAGAUUCGAAGCAGAAGAUACUAUUUCUCAAUGCCUUCUCUUUUGCACUAAAUGCCUAAGUAUUAUUUAAUUUGCAUUUUCACUAAAAAAUAAACUAAACUUAUAAAAUCAUAGGGCAUAUCAAACACACUUACAUGAGAUCUGCUGCCACAAAAGGAGAUGUGCAUCUCGAUUCACACCCCAAAACUGAAAUUUUCUAAAGCUACUUGCUGAAUAAGAUCAAAGGAGAUUUAUGAUGAAAUCGAGAAAUACAAUUUAUGGGGAAUGAAUAUAAAAAUAAAGAUAGGAUUUUAAAGUGGAGUUUGAUCCAAAUUAUGUUUAUUUAGAUUAGCUUUUAGAAUUUGAUAAGGUUCUAAUUUAUUAGAUGUUCUUUAGUUCUUUGUCCAAUAAAAGAGGCUUGUGCAUUGUAAUAGUUAAGACUUUUAUUAUGAAAUAAAUUAAUACCUUCUCCCACAAUUUUUUCUAUAUUCUCUUCCCUUUCUCCUCUUCUUCUGUCUCUUCUUCUUUUCUUAUCUCUCUAUAUCUAGUUCUAGUAAAAUUGUGUUCUUCAUCAAUUUGGUAUCAAAGCAAGAUGUAAUCUUUUGGCCAUACAAAGUUGAUAAAUUUUGAUAAGUGUUCAAGCACAAAAAAAUAAAAAAUAAAAAAAUAAAAAUAAAUUAUUGUUCCCAUCCUCUAAGAAACCCAAUCCAACAUCCAUUCACAUAAUACCUAGUCAAUACCUCUACCAUCCUCCAAAAAAAAUUAUCGUGUCGUCAAGAAUGUAAUUCUGCUUAGGACUAUUUAAGUAAAACAAAAAAAUAAUAAUAAUUAAAAUAGAGGUGUAACUAGUAAAAUAUGUGGUGGUAAUAUUAUUACCCUAUAAAUAAUCUCAUUGAAUAAUAUAGCUUUGUUUAGUUUUACAUGGUAAAUGAACUGUUUUAAUCUUGACUUGACUUAAAGCAGUAUUGAUUUUGUUCUCUAGUGAGUGACUUAAAUUGUGAUGCUGGAGUGGAUAAUAUUUGUUUCUUGUUAUCGUCAUUGUUGAGGAUACUUUGGCCCAAUCUAAGGCAUAAUUCCUGUAACAGAUUUGACCCCACUAUUCUAGCCUAAUUAUAUUUUAAUCUAGCUAAAUUAUGGGAUAUUCUUUCCAUCAAUUUCAUUGUAAUUAAGUUGUAAAUAUUUUAGAUUGAUUUGUAAGAACCUUGUAAAUCUAUAUAAAUAGACAUACUCACCAUCACUAAGAGCAGUGUAGUGAUCUAUUCUUCAAAGAUUUUCAUGGUAUCAAAGCCAUUCUUGGAUUAACAUCUAUUGAUCAUUCAAUCUCAUCAUGGUUGCCGAAUCCACACUCUUCUCUUUCAAGACCAUGAUCUACAUGGUAACAAUUAACUCUCCUCCUCAAACUACCUCAUGUGGAAAUGCCUACUACUUCCCUUUCUUGAGAGUCAAGCACUACUUGGUCAUGUAGAUGGAACCCUUGAGCCUCCACCAAGAUUUGACCCACCCACCUCCCAAACACUGAACACCAAAUACUUAGACUAGAAAAUAAUUGAUCAGAAGUUUCUCAGCCUUCUUCUCUUUUCCCUCACCAAAGAGGCCAUGGCUGAGGUCGUCAGCCUCUCCACUUCCCGCGAGGUUCGGGUUGCCUUGGAAAACACCUUCAGCCACCUCUCCAAAACUCGCGAGACUCGCCUCAAAGAUGAUCUCCAAUUGAUGAAGUGUGGAACACGUUCUGUCUCCGAGUAGUCUCGUGUCUUUAAGGCAUUUUGUGACCAACUACAUGCCAUUGGACGACCAGUUGAUGAGAUGGACAAAGUCCAUUGGUUCUUCGAGGUCUUGACACUGAUUUCUCGUCAUUCUCAAUUGCACAGAUGGUGGUCACUCCUCUCCCCUUCUUCACUGACCUCGUGUCCAAAGCUGAAAGCUUUGAACUGUUCCAAAAAUCUCUUAAAUCUUCAAGUCCACCUAAAGUAGCGUUCACUGCUACGAAUCGCACUUUCAAUCUUGUGAGUAACAAGGGCCACCUCUCAUGCACCAAUCACGGAAGCAACAACAAUCAAGCCUACUCCGAUCGUGGUAACAGACGAAAAUUUUCUGGCCAAGGAUGUUGUCCCCGGUGAUGUCAGAUUUGUCAGAUCGAAGGACACUACGCUGAAUGUUGUGACCAGAGGUAUUCUCGACGAGACCUCAUCUUGUCGAGGCUUUCAAUAAAUCAUGCUCCAUAUUUGAAAAUGAGGCCUCAUAUUGGUAUUUGGACACUGGGUCUUCGCCCACAUGAGCACCAAUCCAUCUAUUACGGAUCACUCAAGUAAUUACACCGGUAAGGAUUGUGUAAUUGUAGGAAAUGAUGCUUCCCUACCUAUAACUCACACUGGUACAGUCUCUCCCAAUCAAAAUCUUCAUUUAUUUGAUGUUUUAGUUGUUCCUCAUUUAACCAAAAAUCUUUUGUCCAUUAGUAAAUUAACUUCUGAUUUUCCUUUGUCUAUUACUUUCACUAAUAAUUCUUUUACUAUUCAGAAUCGUCACACGAGAGAGGGGUGGCAAACGGUAAAUGAGAUGGUGGAUUAUAUGUGCUAGAGCAUGGAAACCCCACCUUUAUUUUUGUUCUUACUAAUAAGUCAUUGCAUGCCUCGUAUGAUUUAUGGCAUGCUCGCCUUGGACAUGUGAAUCAUUCCAUUAUUUCUCUUUUAAAUAAAAAAAGGUCAUCUUUAUUUUACAUCUUUAUUGCCUUCUCCAACACUUUGUAACACAUGUCAGAUUGCAAAAAAUCAUCGUUUGCCUUAUUCGCGUAAUGAAAAAUGAUCCUCCAAUGUGUUGGAUUUAAUUCAUUGUGACAUAUGGGGCCCAUCCCCAUUAAAUCCACUUCAGGUUUUUUUUACUAUGUUAUCUUUGUCUAUGAUUUUUCUCGUUUCAUUUGGCUAUACCUAUACCCUUUGAAAUCUAAUUUUUACAAUAUUUUUCUUCAAUUUCAAAAAUUUGUGGAAAAUCAGUAUUCUGCAUGCAUAAAAAAUUUUCAAAGUGAUGCGGCAGAGAAUUUACUAGCAAUCGUUUCCAGUCACACCUCCGUAACUCUGGCAUCCAUCAUCAAUUAUCUUGCCCAUACACACCUCCUCAAAAUGGUCGUGCCGAAAGGAAACAUCGUCAUGUGAUUGAGAUUGGCCUUGCUUUCCUUUUUCACUCUCAUCUUUCUCCGCUUUUGGGUUAACUCCUUCAGCACUGCAGUCUACAACAUCAAUCGCUUGCCCACACCACUUCUUGGAAGUAAAUCCACUUUUGAACUUCUUUAUGGUUCACCUCCGAAUUAUGAAAAUUUUCAUCCCUUUGGUUGUCGUGUUUUUUUUUUGUUUACGAGAUUUCAUGUCUGACAAAUUUUCCCCUCGUAGCAUCCCAUUCAAUUUUUUGGGAUAUAGUCCUUUCUAUAAAGGGUUUCGUUACCUUAAUCCCACAACCUUUGGACUAUACAUCACUCGACAUGCAUAAUUUGAUGAACAUCACUUUCCUUCAUUAGAAACCUCUCACUCUCCAAUUUACCAAUUUUUUGGAGCCCAACUCUUCCCAUGCAAAAGCAUCUUCCCUUGAGCAUCAUUUUUCUCCUAUUACUACAUCCACAUAUUAUCUAUACUGAUAUAAUGGAUGAGUCUGUGCAGGUUACUGACUCUAAUGCAGGUUCUACUUUGGUACACUUAGCCCCUAGAUCAUCUCCUGUUGAGUCUAACACUGCUCCUCAAGUUCACGAUCUCACUCUAGCUCCAGCUCCAGCAUCUCCAUUAGGCUCUCACCCUAUGAUCACAUGAGCCAAGGCUAGUGUUUUCAAAGCUCAUCAUCAAGCAAACAUUGGCAUCUUAGGCUCCUCUAGUCUUCUUUGUGCUCUUUUUGCCUCUACUGAGCCUAAAAGUUUCAAAUCUGCUACAAGGAAUCCUGAUUGGCUUGCUACCAUGGAUGAAAAAAUGCAAGCCUUACAAAAUAACCGUAUCUAGAUUUUGGUUCCUAGGCCUCCUAACACUAACAUUGUUGGCUCCAAAUGGGUGUUCAGAAUCAAAUAUUAGUCUGAUGGAUCUAUCGAGCGUUUCAAAGCUCGUCUUGUUGCCAAGGGCUAUACACAAGUGCUUAGUCUCAACUACAAUGAUAUCUUUAGUCCUGUUAUUAAUGCUUCCACUGUUUCUAAAUGGCACUCUUAUUGAGCAUGUCUAUAUAGAGCAGCCUCCAGGAUAUAUUGAUCUUCGCUUUCCUAAUCAUGUCUGUCAAUUGAAGAAAGCUCUCUAUGGUCUAAAGCAAGCACCUCGUGCUUGGUUCCAAUGCUUCAGCUCCUUCCUUAUUCAGCUUGGAUUUCAUUGUAGUCGGGUUGACACUUCACUAUUUGUCUUCCACAAGCACUCUGAUAAUCAUAUAUUUGCUCCUAUAUGUUGAUGAUAUUAUUAUCACUGGCUACAACUCAUCUCUCAUCGACAAAUUCCCUUGCAAACUCAAUUUUGAGUUUGCCACUAAGGAUUUGGGUCAUCUUAGCUACUUCCUUGGUCUUGAAGCUUCGACAAUUAAAGAUGGCCUUUUUAUUAGUCAGCUAAAAUAUGCACGGGAUAUUCUUACUCGAGCUCAGUUGCUUGACAAUAAACUAGUGCAUAUUCCUAUGGUUGUUUCUCAGCACUUGCCUGCAGAAGGUCAUCUGUUCUCCAAUCCUACUCUUUACAGAUCUCUAGUUAGCGCCCUACAAUACUUGACUAGCACACGUCCAGAUAUUGCUCAUACUAUCAAUUCUGUCAGUCAAUUUCUAUACGCUACAACAAUCGACCACUUUCUUUCAGUUAAGCGUAUCCUUCGCUAUAUCAAGGGCACCCUUCAUUUUGGCCUCACUUUUCACACAUCUACUACUCCUGGUGCUCUCAUUGCUUACUCUGAUACUAAUUGGGUUAGAUGCCCUGAUACUUGUUGAUCUACCUCUGGUUACUCCAUCUAUAUUGGAGAGAAUUUGGUUUCUUGGUGUGCUAAGAAGCAACCCACAGUCUCUCGUUCUAACUGUGAAUCUAAAUAUCGUGCCCUUGCUCAUGCUGCUUUUAAGCUUCUUUGGAUUACACAACUUCUUCAAGACUUACAGAUGUCACUUCCAUAGCAGCCCCUUCUUUUAUGUGACAAUAAAAGUGCCAUAUUUCUGAGCUCCAAUCCUGUUUCUCACAAAUGGACUGAGCAUGUUGAAUUAGACUACCACUUUCUUUAGUAACUUUUUGUCUCUAGCAAACUUCACACUCAGUUCGUCCCAUCUUACCUACAGGUUGCUAACAUCUUUAUCAAAAGUCUCCCUUGACCACUUUUUGAAUUCUUUCAAUCAAAGCUUCACAUCUACUCCAAUCCGACAUUCAGCUUGCAGGGAGUGUUGAGGAUACUUUGGACCAAUCUAAGGCAUAAUUCCUGUAAUAGAUUUGACCCCACUAUUCUAGCCUAAUUAUAUUUUAAUCUAGCUCAAUUAUGGGAUAUUCUUUCCAUCAAUUUCAUUGUAAUUAAGUUGUAAAUAUUCUAGAUUGAUUUGUAAGCACCUUGCACAUCUAUAUAAAUAGACAUACUCAUCAUCACUAAGAGUAAUGUGGUGAUUUAUUCUUCAACGAUUUUCGGUCAUCUCCAUUUGUGUUGGUUUUUCCUUUUUCUUUUCUGUGGAAUUUGUGACAUUCUGCUAAAGAAAAGCAUCAUGAAAGAGCCCAAAACUUGAAUUGAAGAGGAAAUGAGCAUGAAUAGUCAACUUAUACUAAAAUUCAACUACUGCUUGACAUGAAAAUCCACAAUAAGGGUAAAACUUAUCAUAAAAUAGAGGCACGGGUAAAUUCUAUUAACUUUUGAGUAUGCUAAAUUGAAUCAAUCUACCAAGGAGAACAUAAACAUAAAAAUAAGAAUAAAGGCACAAUUGAGAUUUGAAGCAGAAGAUACCAUUUCUCAAUUCCUUCUCUUUUAAACUAGAAGCCUAACUAGUCUUUAAUCUGCAUCUGUACUGAAGAAUAAAAUUAAACUUGUACAAUCAUAGGGCCAUCAAAAACAUUUACAUGAGAAGCUCUUUGACCAUAACUAAAAUUUCUAAAGCUAUGUGUUGAAGAAGAUCAAAGGAGAUAUACGGUGAAAUCGAGAAAUACAGUUGAUGGGGAAUGAAUGUAAAAUGAAGAUAGGAUUUAGAUCGAUUUUAAAGUAGAAUUUGAUUUAAAUUGUGUUUAUUUAGAUUAGAUUAAAAAUUAGCUUUUAGAUUUUGGUAGGGUUUUAAUUUAUUAAAAGUUCGUAAAUUCUUUGUCCUGAAAAAAAAUCGUUAAUUCGUCUCUCUAAUCAAUUUUAACGUUCUGAGUUCAUCUGUGCAGUCAGAUUUGAUAAUAUCAACUUUUAAGAUUGUGUUCUAGACCCAAACAGAUUCGAUCGAGACUAAAAAAUGGGAAAAAGGUAUUGCUCAUCUUUAAAAAAGGGGGGGGGGGUUAAAAGUUGAAAUGUCCAAUAAAAUUACCGUUUGACUUUUUCAAAUGAAUUUUAGAAAAUUGCAACUUGGUCCCUCAAAUAUUCUUGAUUUUUAUGUGCAAUUAAAAUUAAUUUUCAGAUAAUGAAAAAAAAAUAAUUUUGGACUCGAUUAAAUUCUAAUUUUUUUUUUUUUAUAAAAAUUGAGAAUAUUUGUUAAGCAGUAUUUGCCUAGUGGGAGUUUUUUUUUUUUUUUUUGAAGUGUUUCAUUUUUAAAUGAAAAAUACUACGAAGGUAUUUAAAAUAAUGCAUUAUAUAUACGUUCAUGAGUUGUGUGGGUUUUAAUUAGGCUAUGUGAUCCAUUGUGACUUGUUUUCAAUUUUUUGUGCUUGAUCAAAUAUGGCUAGAUCUGUGCACAUUUAUAGCAUCCUUAGAAGGAAUGCUAGAAAAUCAAAGGCUAUGAAACUUGUUGAAAUGUUCCAUGAUUAUCGAUAUAAAUGAAUGGAUCUGGAACAUGAUCUAUUGUGGAACACGUAAAUAUUUUGGGAUAUAAGUUUUUGAUGACAAGCAAAAUAUAAUAAUUCUAAUGUCACUUCCCAGUUAUUAGGACUGUGUUUCGACCGAGAUUUAGAUGGGAUUGAGAAUUUGUAAAAUAAAACUUAAACUAUGUUAGUUUUAUUUUUGAAUUAUAAUUGAAGUUAUCUUCUGAAAGAAUUAAUUUGUUAUAUCAGGAUGCAUGUCAUGAUUGGAUAAAUGUGCAUAUUUAUGUUUUUAUUGCAUAUUAUGAAGUUAUCUAAUUGAAUACAUCAUGUAUUGUUAUAAAUGCUAAGGUCAGUAGAAUUAGUGAGAUUCUUACUAAGACAUAUUGAUUGUCAGUUGAGUGAUAGUUCGGUGAUUGGAAGAUUUAGAGAAAAUCUCACCAAGAACUAUUCGAUUCAUCAAUUGAGUGGGAGUUCUGAAGUUGGAAUAAUUAAUGUGAUUCUCACUUAGAACCCAUUGAAUUUUGCAUUAUUAAAUUAAGUUUAUAAUAGUGAAACGAUAGGAUUACGGACGAUGAUUGGGAACAUAGUGAACUUUCGACUCUGUGCCUAACGUUGAACUAUCGUAGAUGUUAAUUUGCGUUAAUACAAAAUUAAAUAUGUACAUAAAUGGGCAUUGAUUAAGAAUAACAUGUCUCUAAAAAUCGGAUAGAUCAUGGCAUCAAAAUCUAUAGAAGUUAACCUUAAUAAAAGUGAUAAACUAAAUGCGAUAACAUUUAGCAUGAUAAGAUUUUAAAUGUACUAGAAGGACAUGAUGCUUUAGAGAGCAUCAACCACGUAAUAGAAGACCUUAUGUAGGUCAUACUACUCUAGAGAAUAAAGAUCAGAAUCAAACUUAGUCGAGUACGGGAAAAUGUGAAUUUUAGUACUCGAGCAUUUAAAUUGUUAAGUUAUGUUAUAAAUGAUCUUUUCUUCUCAAAUGUGACUUAGUUGGUGGUUAGCAUAGUGUUAACAUUUUCAUUGGUCACAUUAAUUUUAGAUGAGUAGUAAGUUCAAAUUAGUCUCUUCUUAAUAUAUGGAAUUUUGAAAGUGAUUGUGACUUACAAAUUGAAGUGUCAAUUUUUUUUCUAUUGAUACUACCAGCUAUGUGAGUUAAAAGACGUGCGACUUGAUGUUGCUAAGUCUCGAGGACAUUGCUAGUGUAGCAAUGUUCUAGCUUGCAUAAGAUUUUGAAUCUUAAGCAUUGAAUGAGCUAGAACAAAUGCGGGAUAGAUGUGGGAGAUUGGUAAAGGGACCAAGACGAACUAUCAGAUUGUAAGUGAAUGAAAGUGGUUUUGGUAGAGGAUCAAUGUUAUAAAGGUUCAAGUGCUUCAACUAUAUGAUUUGAAUCCCUUACCUUGAAAGUGGUUAAGCUAAAAGAUAUUGCACUUGAAUAUAUUCCUCCUAGUGUUGUUUACAUGUCAACACUAUACAUAUUGGAUCUUAUCUUGUGUGGAUAGUGGAUUAAAAGGUUAGAAACCCACUUUAUAUGAGAUUAAAAGUUAUAUUAUUCUAUUGUCGAGUCUUUGACUUGAUACAAAGUAGAUAUAUACAAAUAUUAAAGAUAGGGUGGAUGUUUAUAUGACUGAUACUGGAAUUUAGUAUUGCAAAGUGGAGAAUCUGACCUCUUAUUUGAUAUUAAGAUAGUAUCAAAGAUUCCACUAAAUUUGAUCUCAAUUAUUGUUCUUCUAAGAGUGGUCUCUUACCUGAACUUAUGCGUGGUAUUUCUAUUCGUACUCACAGUGGUGACGUUUAUUAUGGUUCUGGAUAUUUGUGCAAUUGUUUGAGGUUUUGAGUUGAGAAAAUCAUUCAAAACUGUAAGAGCUAAAUUUCUGUAGAAUAAAUCCUUCAAAUUUUUUUUGCGGACUGUGAUUAAAAGAGAUAGAGAUGGAACUUUACUUUUCAUUACAUUUAUAGAUAGAUUCAGGCAUUUCAGAUAUGCUUCUAAUUUUCUUAAAUUGAAGAUAUUGUAUUGGUUUAGAUUUUUCUGAAGUCAAGUAGAAAAUUAGAUUGUGGAAGUGAAGACUUUGAGAAUUAUCUGAUGUCAUGACUCUCUAUCACAAGAUAUCAAUGAUCUAUGCAAUGAAAGAGAUUCUUAUUUGAUAGACUAUUUCUUAGUCACCAAUAAUUAUAUGGUGUAUUUGAUUGAAGGAACGCAAUAUUGCUGAAUGUGAUGAGGUUUGAGAUAUAGAGUCCAACUUACGUAUUUGCUUUUGAAAAGAGCGUUGCCUAACUACAAUGUAUCAGUUAAUGGAGCUCUCUCAAUGUUGGUGACUUCAUAAUAUAUAAGUUUGGACACGUAAAUAAUCUAAUGUGGGUUAUCACAGACUCUUAAUUGACUAUAUAUAAUCUCGAUAAUGAGUAUAGGAACAUGAGUCUGUUAAGAACAAGAUGUGUCUCGAUGACAUAAAUGUAGUCCAAAAAGAUACUUCAGUGAAAUUUUUGGACGGAUAUCGAGUCAUAAGAUAUGACAUUUGACAUUUUUCCCAGUAAGGGAGAAAAAGAUUGGAGAACAUCAUUGAAAUUCAUAUUAUAUGUAUUGAUGAAUUAGUUUUGAAUAUAUAAGAGAUGAUUCAAACUUCUAAUUCAAGUGGGUGUAAUCUGUUUCCGAGUUGGACUCAUCUAGCCAAGUGGGAGCUAUAUAAGAACUGUCUAAUUUCAAUGAUUCUUGGUUCCAAGUUGGAUCUAAGAGCUAGUUCAAAAAAUCAAAAGGGGAAUUUCGAGAAAAGUGAUGGAAGUCUAUAUAUGGAGAAUAUAAUUUCAACCUAAUCUGGAUUUGGUGAAAGUUCUAUGCAGACAUUAUAUUUACCGAAAACAUUCAGGUUCUUGAAAGUUAAGUGGAAGACUAAUGAGUUUCUGAUAGAUAAAGCUCAUUUUUUAAAAAGAUUAUACUUAAUGUGAGUAUAUUGAGUUGGAUAAAUUUUUUCAUAACGAUGGGAUUCACUUCUGUGCAUCAAUUCUAGCCUUGAUGGUAUGUUUAAAUUUGGAGUUGCACCAAAUCAACCUAGAGACUGUAUUUUUUAUUCUCAAUUGAGAAAUGAUUAAAGAUAUCAACAUGAAUCGACUUUUAGAUUACAUGUUAAAGCCUUUUUUUUUUGUAUUGUGGUAACUUUACAGUUACACGCAUGGCCAAAUACAUUCAUCUCGACGGUUGUACUCGAGUUUUUAACGGGGUUAAAUCUUGUACAAGAAUUUCGUCAUAUGGACGACAAUUACUGUAUUUGUAUAAAAUGUCUGGUAGUGGGUUGUAAUUCUAAUAUUGUUAUUGAUGACAUUGGAUUGGCUAAGCAUGAUAAGGAGUGUACAAAGACCAUUUUGAAAUGAUUGUUGUCAAUUUUUGAGACAAAAGACAUGGGUUUAGCAAAUUGUAUGAUUUGUGUUAAGAACACUUUUCGUAUAUUCUUAUUCUAUUAUAAGAGUUUUAUACUAUAAAUGCUCAUGUGGAAUUACAACUGUGACAAUAUAAGUCUUCAUAAAUGUCCAAAGAUUUUAUAAGUGCACAAAGAAAUAUCCAGAGAAUCAUAUCUAGUACGAUUAAGAGUUAGGAAAUAGAAGUAUACUAUGAUAUAUAUUUUUCCUAACAAUGAUCAUGCCAUGGAUCUAAUCAGUAGGUAUCAAUAUUAUCUUUAGAAAAUGUAUUGCGAUACCUGAAGGAUGCUGUGAUCAGUUAUUCUAUUUCGUUGUUAAAGGAAUAACUUAUGAUUGGAAUAUAUAUACAAUUGUUGACUAAGAAUGAGAGUUAGUCGAGCAUAAUUAGUUAUUUGACUUGUGCGCUUUUGCUAGAUAGAGUAGCAAGAAGCAUAUGUUAUUAUGUAUAUCUUGGUAGCUAAAGAAAUUGUUUGGUAUGGAUGUAUUGAGCAUCUAAUGAUACUGGUUGAGAAUAUGAAAUCCAUGAUAGUUACACAACUAUCUUAUAUGUUAAGAUCUCAAGUAUCAAAAUAGAACCAAACACUUAAUGGUAAUUAUGUGAGAGACAUUAGCAAAGAAAGUGUCUUUGCGCUAUAUCUACAUAAAUGAUGAUAUGUAAUCAUCAUACUUAGAAGAUGUCUAGAGAUAUAUUUGUUGAUAAUAUGGAAUCUCUAGAAUUUCGUAGAAGAUGAUACUUGGUGUAUCAGACAAACUCUUGAUUGAGUUUUGUGUGCCCAUAGAUGAACGAUUUUGAGUUCAUGUGUAAUCUAAUAUUGGGGUUACAAGAUAAAUGAUUUGUAUGCACAUAUAAAGUAUGUUGAAUGGGUUGAGAUUGACUUACUCACACAAGCAAUCGCCUCAGACGUUUUAAGAUGUGCUGAAAUGAGACACAGUGAUCAUGUUGUGUACAUGAUCCAGUCGCCUUGAUAGUGAUCAUUUUGUUUACAUUAUCCAGUCACUUUGAUAAGGUAUCAAGAUGAUAUUACAACAAGUAAUCGAAAUGAAUUUCACUAUCCAUUAAACCCGUUUAGUAGCGAAAUCGAGUUCUUGAUUUGAGAAUGCCUGGAGGAAUGAACAUAAGGAGAACUCAAGUUAAGUAUCGAAAAAUACUUGAAUUAGGAUUUAUACGAUGUUAUUUGCUUACAAAGAAUAUGACAUACGGCCUAAGAAAGGAAGAAAACAUCGUAGCAUGUGUUUCAUACCGCGUGUGCUUUUACGAUCAAUAUUGGGUAAAUUAGUGAAUGGAUCCCUGCUUCCUCAUUAUGUGAGACCCUGAGGUUUAUGUAACCUCAUAUAGACCCUUAUAACUUUUUUUUUGUUUCUUGAGAUUUCAUUUCAGUGUUGCUACUUUAGCAUGUUGCCAAUGACUAUGAUUGAUUCGGUUUGAUGGGGCAUGUCUAGGAAAGCAGCUGAUUUAAAAUCAAAUGAUUCAAGUAGGAAAUGAAAACUAUUUUGACCAACAUUUAUAUUUGUAUUCACUGGCCAAACAAUUGUGUUUAACCAUUUGGGGUAUAGAAUGCAAUUGUGAAUACAAUGAUAUGAUGCGGAGUUCAAGUAUGUUCUACAAAUACUCGAGGGAUCAGAAAUACUUGAAUUAAUGUUGGAAAAUGAGCUUGGGGCAUAGCGAGAUGUGAUGUUCCUCCUCUAGUAGAGCUACUAUAUAUCCCUAACAGGUUUAUAGUACCGUGAACUAUAAUAUUACUCAUUGGUCGCAUGAACUAUUUUCCGAAUGAAUCUUUGUGAGAUAAAUCUUGAGAAGGAUCUAAGGCAUGACAUUUGUUGUCACUUAUGGUUCAGAUCAACCCAAUCAUAUGCGAGUGGGAGAUGUUGGAAAAUAUGGAUAAUGGGUCGCCCAUGUGAGGUGACCCAACCUGUAGGAUUUUAUAAAGGUUGGAGGGAGUGGUUUGAAUUUAGAAUUCAAACCCAUAACUCCCAAGUAACCACUUAAAACUUCCAUAUAGAAGUUAUGGAAAAGAGGGGGAAAAUGCAAGACAUGAGAAAAAUGGUGAAAAAAAUUCGUAUGGAAAUUCACCUCAAAAUUUGAAAGUCCCUAGAAUCACAUUUUUGACAUGAAAUCUCACAAGAAAUGUCACUUAGAUUGUGGACAAUAAUCCCUUUCCAAUGUGAUCGGGAUUUAGAUCAUUGGAGUACAAGAAAAUACAAAUUUUGGAGAUUUGAAAGUAAGGUGAUUCAACCACAUAAAGAUCUUGAAAUUCAUCAUUUCAAGUAACUUCGUUGACCAGAAAUUCAUGUCAAAGCAUGCUACGAUUUUCCUACAUUGGCUAAACGAGUUUAAUGGAUAGCGAAAUUCAUUUCGAUUACUUGUUGAAAUAUAUAUAUAUAUAUACACACACACACACACACACACACACAUUGUAAUAAUUAGACUUUCAUUAUGAAAUAAAUUAAUACUUUCUCUCCUGAUUUUUCUAUAAUCUCUUUCCUUUCUUCUCCUUUUCUCUUUCUUAUUCUCGUUCUUGUAUGAUUGUGUUCUAAAUCAAUUUGAUAACAAAAAAAGUCGUAUUCUGACACAUCCCACCCUGUGUAACACUAGUGGAUCCGAACGUGGCAUGCUUCGAUAAUAGAUACCAACUAAAAGUCGAACCCACCAUCAAGGCUACUACAAGUACAAUAUAUCACUUUUUAUACAUCAUCUUUCUACUAAAAUUUCGGCAUUAUCUCCCUAUAAACAGGACUAACUAACCUGAUAUUAGUUUCAUUCAAAUCCCAAACUAUAACACAAUACAAUAAAGAUAAGCCGAAAUCUCAACAUUUACCAAGAAACAAAAUGAAAUGUACAUAUGGAUACAAAAUACAUAGUGAAUCUCAUAACUAUCUACAAGUGAUGCAAAAUCACAUCUAGAUAUGAACAUGCGUCCCAAAACACUGACUACAUGUUCUAUAAAGUGAGUCAUACUUACAAACUCUGUCGUGUGGCUCUGACUCCAAAAUCAAGGCUCAACUUCAAAAGAUGCCCAGAUUCUCAACUGUUGCCUGAUAAGGAAAAACGUGGAAAAAUAUAUGAGUUGAUAGCUCGGUGAGUGGAGAAGUUCAAAAUAAAUAUACUUUUUCAUUUAUACAUUUUUAUUGAAAAUCAAAUUCAUAUCAUUUGAUAAUUCACAAGCUACCAUCAUGUAAUUAUAGCCAAAAAGUGAAAUAUUCACAUAAGGUCAUGAAAUAUCAUCUUAAAAUCAUGAUAUAAACAUCAGCUGAUAACCAUGCUAGAAUCUCAUCACAUCAAACGUGCUAAAAAAUCCACCAAAAAUAUACCCUCUGACAGAAAUAUAUAAUCUGGCCCUCGAGCUAAGAACUUUCACCAAGGGCCUUUGGCCCCCUCCGUGAACGAAAAUCAAUCUCAAAGACCUCUUAUAAUCAAUUUUAGAGUACACCCAAGGCCCCUCUGUGAACUAUAUGUACAUGAUCAAGACCAGGGUCCAGUCAAGACCCUCCGUGUAGGAUUGAACACAGCCAAGGCCUCUUUGUGAACUAGAAGAAAUAUAUAAUCAUGGAUACUUUUCUGACCGAUCUUAAUAUUACAUGUCUCACAUACCAAACAAAUCUCAAUAUCACAUGUCUUACAUACCAAGUCAUAAAUGUGGCAUAAAUAAUCUUUGAGAUUCCACAUGUAUCAUAAUAAAAGAGAUUUUCAUAACAAUCAUAUAAUCAAACACAUAAUUGCACAUACCUUGAUAAUAUACUUUAUUUAUAAAUACUUUAAAAAUAUUUAUAUUUUUCCACUCAAAGAACUAUCUACGCCAAAAUCAACUCGGUUGAUAAGCUCUCCCGACGUCCUUAUCGUCCCCUGAAAUAUAAUAUAAUUUUUAAAUCAAUAAUUAACCAUUUUAAGUAUUUUCAAUAAUUAAAUAGGCGAAACUCAAACUUAAUUAUUUCACAUUUAGGCUAUUUCUAAAAUCUCUUUAAUUACUAAAACUAGUUUUCUUUCAUUUUACUCAAUUUCAUAGUUUAUUAUACUUAACCCCUUCAAUAAAAUUGAAUUUAAUCUAACAAUCUAACAACUAUAAAAUUAAACAUAACUUAACAAUAAGUAAAUUUUUACUUACCUUUCCAAAUUGAGGAAUUCAAAUCUAAUAGUAUAGAGCACUUAAUUCCUAAUACGUUGGCGAAUUUUUUCUAUUUUUUUCUUUUUUCUUUCUCUUUUUCUCUUUCCUUCUCCCUGUUUCUAUUUCUCUCCACGUGUUUGUAUAUGUUAUCAAAUGGUUUUGGAUUUGUAUGAGUUUUCCACCACCUGCUACUUUUGUUUUAUCUUUUAUCCUUUUUUUUGUGUUUGACUUUUUUUUUUAACAUAAUGUAUUACAAAACUCACCUCCUUAAAAGAAUUUCGUCCUCAAAAUUCAAUUGACUAAGUAAGAAAAAGUCGUAGAUAUUGAGAACGCAUCUGCUCCUCAUUUUCCCGUGUCGCUUUUUCUAUAUCAUGGUUCCUCCACAAGAUUUUAACCAAAGGAAUAGUCUUACUACACAAGACGUGUUCCUUUCUAUCCAAUAUCUGAACUGGUUCCUCUUCAUAGGUAAGAUUUUCCUUUAGCUCUAUUGGUUGUGAUUCCAAAACAUGAGACGGAUCUAGAAUAUACUUACGAAGCAUGGAAACAUGGAAUGCAUCAUGAAUUUUGGACAAUUAUGUUGGCAAAGCCAAUCGAUACGCAACUGGACCGAUGAAUAUACCUCGGACUCAAUUUUCCUCGCCUACAAAAUUUGAUAACACCUUUCCAGGACGACAAUCGCAAGAAAACUCUAUCCCCAACAUCAAAUUCAAGGUUUCUUCUACGUCUAUCUGCAUAGUUCUUAUGUCUAUCUUGGGCUAUCUUUAACUUUUUUUUAAUUAUCUUUACUUUCUCAGCAGUAAUCUAGACAUAUUCAGGACCCAAUAACUUUCUUUCACCAACUUCAUCCCAACAUACUGGAGUUCUGCAUUUCCUACCAUACAGUGCUUCAAAAGGGGCCAUUUCUAGACUCGAAUGAUAACUGUUAUUAUAAGCAAACUUCAUCAAAGGAAGAUGAGUAUCCCAAUUCCCUUUGAAUCGUAGUACACAAGCUCGUAACAUAUCUUCCAAAGUAUGAAUAGUUCUUUUUGACUGAUCAUCUGUUUAUGGAUGAAAAGCCGUACUGAAAUGAAGUUUAGUACCCAUAGCUUUCUGCAAACUAGGCCAAAAUUUAGAAGUGAAAUGAGAAUUUCUAUCCGAAACAAUAGAUACUGGUGUCCCAUACAAAUUGAUUAUUUCAUCAACAUAUAUUUUUGCUAAUUUAUCUAACGAGUAAGUGACUUUAAUAGGCAAAAAUCUAGCAGUCUUCAUUAACCUAUCUACAAUGAUCCAUAUGCCAUCAUGUCCACUCUAAGUUCGUGGAAGUCCAAAUAGAAAAUUCAUAGUAAUGUGUUCCCAUUUCCACUCAGGAAUAGACAACAUUUGUAACAAUCCUGCUGUUUUCUAACAAUCUGGUUUCACUUGCUGGCAAAUGAGACAUCCACAAACUCAGCUAUUCCUCUCUUCAUUCCAUGCCACCACUGGUGUUCUUUGAGUACAUGAUACAUUUUUGUACUACCUGAAUGCAUAUCGUAAUCUGAACUUUGUGCCUCUUCUAGAAUUUCUCUCUUCAAUUUCGAAUCAUCACAUAAUCUGUUUCCCAUAACUAAAGCCCCGUCAUCUCGAAUGGUAUAAUCUAUAUUCUUACCUUUACUAACUUCUUCUUUCAAUUUGCUCAACACUAGAUCUUGAGUUUGAGUUUUUCUAACUGUGUCAAUCAAAGUAAGUCUCACUUGGAAGUUGACAAACAAUGCUCCUACACUGGUAACUGAUAAAUGGGCGUGAGAAGCUCUGAACUCACCAAAUAAAGAUGAACAUACUGCAUUAGUCUGGGUCAUAGGACUCGAUAUUUUCCGAUUGAGAGCAUCAGCAACUGCAUUAGCCUUCCUUGGAUGAUAAUCAAUCUUGUUGUAGUAAUCUUUUAUCAGCUCUAACUAUCUUCUUUGCCUCAAGUUUAACUCUUUCUAAUAAAAAAUAUACUUUAAGCUUUUAAAAUCUAUAUAUAUCUGGCAUCUCUCGCCACACAAGUAAUGUCUCCAAAUUUUCAAGGCUAGGACAACUGCAGCUAGCUCUAAGUCAUGUGUAGGAUAACUCAGUUCAUGUUUCUUCAACUACUUGGAAGCAUACGCUAUAACUUUCUAAUUCUGCAUCAAAACACAAUCGAGACCCUGACGUGAAGCAUCACUAUAUAUCACAAACUCUUCACCGGGAGAUAGAAGGGUAAGAGCUGGAGCUGACACUAAUCUAUUCUUCAAUUCGAGGAAACUUCUUUCGUAAUUUUCAUUCCAAACAAAUUUAGCAUUCUUUCUAGUCAAACUGGCCAAAGGCAGAGCAAUUUUAGAAAAUCCCUCUACAAAACGACGGUAAUAACCUGCUAAACUAAGAAAACUUCGAAUUUCUGUCACAUUAGUAGGCCUUUCCCAGUUUAUUACUACCUCUAUUUUCUGUGGGUCAACAUAAAUUCUUCUGCUGAUAUGACAUGUCCCAAAAAUAUAAUUUUAACAGGCCAGAAUUCACAUUUACUAAAUUUAGCAUACAACUGAUCAUCACGUAGAGUUUGUAAGAUGAUUCUGAGAUGCUCUGUGUGCUCAUCGUGAUUAUGAGAGUAUACUAAAAUAUCAUCGAUGAAUACAAUCACAAAUCUAUCUAAAUAUGGGCGAAACACUCUAUUCAUCAUAUCCAUAAAUGCUGCUAGUGCGUUGGUCAACCCAUAUUGCAUCACAAAAAUUCAAAAUUACCAUACCUUGUCCGAAAAGUAGUUUUUGGCACAUCACUAUCUCUGAUUUUAAGUUGAUGAUAUCCAGAAUGCAAAUCAAUAUUUGAAAAUACUGCAGCACCGCGAAGCUGAUCGAACAUAUCAUCAAUACAUGGCAAAGGAUAUCUAUUGCGAAUUGUCACUUUGUUCAAUUGUCUGUAAUCUAUGUAUAGUCGCAUGGUACCAUCUUUCUUUUUCACAAACAAAAUUGGUGCUCCCCACAGAGAUAGAUUAGGCCUGAUGAAACUCUGUCUACCAACUCUUGCAACUGAACCUUUAGCUCUUUCAAUUCUACUGGUGCCAUUAUAUAAGGUGCCCAUGAAAUAGGUGCAGUUCUUGAAAUCAGAUCUAUAGUGAAUUCCACAUCCCUGUCCGAUGGUAAGCCUGGUAAUUCUUUUGGAAAUACAUCAGGAAAGUCCUUGACCACUGGGAUGUCUUCAAGUUUUAGUUUACUAACAUCUGUAUCAAUUAUGUGAGCCAAAUAUGUAUGGCAGCCCUUGUUGAGUAAUCUUCUAGCAUCAAUAGCGAAUAUCACACAAGACGGUAAAAUUCUGCGCUGUCCAUUGAAUAUAAUUUCAGGUUGUCCUGGCUGUCUAAACACAAUUUUGAAAGCAAUCUACUGAAGCUCGAUUUGUUGCCAAAAAUUCCAUACCCAAGAUAACAUCGAAAUCAUGUACGUCAAGAGGUAUUAAAUUUGCCUUCAGCUUGUUCUCCUUUACCUUAAUCCCACAAUCUCGAAAUAUAAUGUUUGCUAAUAGUGACAUGACGCGACAUGUAGACACGAGAGAAAGUGGGAUCAAGGCAUAGAUAAGCACUUUGAGUGGAGGAAUAACCUACAAAUAUACAAAGAGAUGAACGAGGAACAAGUUUGUGGAGGAAAGUAUGGUCGGAGCCAAGGAUAACAUAGACAUCAAAAACUAUGUAGUUUAGAGUAACUAGGAGAAGCACCGAAGAGUUUGGCAUAGGGGGAGAGGAACUGGAGUCUUGGAGUGGGUAGAUGAUUGAUGAGAUAAACUGUUGUGGUGAAAGCAUAAGACCAAUAAGAGAGAGGUAGAGAUGCAUGAGAGAGAAGAGAUAGACAUGUUUCAACAAUAUGACGAUGAUGACAUUAUGAGAAUCAAUUGUGUAAUGCCGUUGGUAGCUAGAAAGGGGAAAGAGCUUGAUAUUUCACCUAUUGUUCGAAUAAAGGGUAAUAAUUUUUCGAUUGAAGAAAUUUUCUAUAAGGGAUUUGAAUCUGACAAAAACAUCAUGUACAUGAGAUUUUUUUUUAAGUAGAUAUAGCCAUAUGUAUUUAGUGAAGUGGUUGACAAAGAUCACAUAUUAUUUGAAAUCAUCAACAGAGAAAAUAGGAGAAGUCCAUAUAUCAGAGAAUAUAACUUCAAGAGGGGAGGACAUAACUAUUGAAGAAAUGGAGAAAGGUAGCUUGUGACUUUUAUUAUAUUGAUAGGAAUUACAAUUGAAAUUUAAAUUUAGAGGACUUGACAAUUCUAAAUGAAAGUUUGAGACAAAAUGCUUAAAAGUAGAUGGUGAUGAGUGUCCUAGAUGAUGAUGCCAUGUGAUAAGUGAAUUUUAUACACUUAUUUCAUUCAUUAAACUAGAGCAAUUUUUGUUAUUUAGGAUGAAUAGAUGCUUAACUUUAUACAUAUUUCAUUUGUUAGGUGUAACUCGAGGUAAAAUAAUGAAAUUGGACAGAAGAGCGGGAAAUUUGCUAACUUGGGAUUAAUCAAAAGUUUAGGGACUAAAUCGCAAAGUAUCAAAAGUUGAUUUGGACAUAAUGUUAAUUAUUGAAGAAGAGCGAGAGGCAAUUAAGUGGUAUUGGAGGAUGAAUAAUCAAGAAGAUGUCAAUAUGAACCAAAAGGAAUGACAAAUGAACUAUAGGGACCGAAGUGCAACACAUGAAAAAAAUUCAUAGUGGCAUGCGCACAUGGGCCAAUACUCUCGUGCACACAUGAGCUUGAAUUUUAUAUGCAGAACGUAGAAGUGAUAUGCAGCGCGCGCAGGGGCAUUUUUCCGAAAAAAUCAGGUAGAUUCCUUUUUUGACACAAACUCUUAUGGAAAGAAAAUUCAUCUUACUACUUAACCUAGGAAGACGGACCAAACAGUGUUUUUCUUCUUCUAGAGAGAAAAAAAGAGGAUUGCAAGGAGAAAAUCUCAAGAGGCAAAGAUCAAUAAAAGUAAUUGUAAGAAGAUUGACGACGAUUGGGGGAAGAAUUUACGCAACAAAACUAGUUUUUAUUAUUCCCUACUUCUUCUCCAUAUUCUUUAUUGUGUAUUUUAUCAUUUCAAUCAAUUCCAUUAUGAACUAGACUUUAAUCCUAGGGAUUUGAUGUAGCCUACUUAGACAUAUUUUAAUUCCUAUAUGUUUAUUUCAAUUAAUCUUUCCCGUUAUUUAUUUAUGUUGUUCUUGCACAAUGCUUUCACUUAGUUGGCCACUAAUUGACUGAUUUGAUGCUUUAAAUUUCAAUGCUCGAGAGAGGUAAAUUUGGGCGUGAUCUAAGAAUAACAUAACCUAGAUUUCCUAUAUUUUGAGAGAAAGUGCGAAUCUUCGAGGCUAAUUCCACUUAAAGAACUAGGUGCUUUGAUAAUUUCUAUAUGUUUAGUUUGGAAUAGAGAUAUUGGAAUUAAAAUAUAGAAAUAGAUUCUAUUUGAUUUUUUAGAGGGGGGAAAUGGAAUAAAUUUAAAUUUAGAGUUCUUGCUUAUAAAUUUUGGAAAGAUUGAUAGAAAUAGUUAUAACAGUUGUGAAACAUUGUCGAUAGUACGGUGAAAUCACUCCCUAGGCAUUCAUAAUUUGAUAAGAAACUUUAUAAAUUGAUUUUGUUCACUUUGCAUCGUUCAUCCUAUUCAUUUUAAUUUAGCAAUAAAAUAUUGUUUCAAAAAUUGAUUGUCUAAAUAAAGUGAAAGUUAAAAUAAUUAUAGUACUCGAUAGGAUUCAAAUAUCAAUCCCUGUGGGUUCGACACUCUUACUCUAAUACUAUAUUAUAAAACUUGAUACUGUACACUUGCGGUAUAAAAUCAUGUUGCAUAAAAUUGCGUGGCACCAUGCAAAAGAAGUGGUUUUGACACUUGAAAAAGCCACUACUGGAGAGGACUUAACAUAGGACAUCGGCCACUUAUACACCAUCCUUAGUCCGACCUUGCAAAGGUGUUGCCCUUGUACGGAGAUCCUUCACAAGAAAAUAAUUAGGUAAGAACUCAAUGGAUGUAUUAUUAAAUUGAAAAAAAAACAAUUUGAGAGAAAGAGAUGAGAUUCUUUUUCAUAGUGGGAACACAAAGAACAUUAUUUAAGAAAAAAUGUAUGAGAUGGAGUGUAGAGAGAUUUUGAAUCGGUGUGGGUGAUGAGGAGACCUGUGCUAUCUCUAAUCACUAUGUUAUCAGAUCUGUCAUAAGGAGUAUGAACGGACAGAUUACUCAGGUCGGUGGUAACAUGGUGUGAAGCUCCACUAUCAAGAAGCCAACUAGAAUUGUCAUUGGGAUUAGCGGUUUCAAGGUUGGCCUAAGGCUAGAAUAGUGAAAUAGUGGUCAAAAAUUGAUUUUUAAUUGGCUUAAAAUCUAUACCAAACAAUCUCUAAAACUAUACUUUAUUGUACCUAAAUCAUUUAUUCUACUUACAACACCUCUAUUUUGAGUGAAAAUUUUUAAAUAGCUCAUGAGGUGUGCAUUGUUCAUAAAUUGGUGGGGUAAGACUUGAACUCAAAAUACUUAUCUACUUUACCCUUCUUCUUUUUUUGACUUGUUUUGGAGGUGUUUAAAUUAUACACACUUUUGAUCAGACGCUCUUUUUACAAAUUUACGGUUUCUUGAUUAAUAAACCACGUUGGACUUAUGGGGCAACAAGAGAGAACAAUAUAAAAUAUUGUCUUAAUCAAACAUCCCCAUCAUAUGCAAGUUGUUAUUUGUUAAUUGAAAGUCCAUGACUGACAUGUAAUAUACAACUUUUUUAAGAACUCCAUAAUUCUUAGUCACAUAAGGUACAUGAAUCUUAUUUUGAACAUCCAUGUAAUUUGUGGCAACACAAAACUUGCAAGAGAAAUCGAAGAAAUGUCAAAAUUAAAAAAAAAAAUAAAAAAAAAAAAAUUCUAUCAUCCUACAUUUAUGGGCUUCAAGUAGGAUCAACCUGCCUGAGUGAGUACUUAGUAGUUUGACCUUCUCCCUUUAUCAGUCGUAGUCAGUGAUUGUCUUCAACCCAAAUACCUAAUUUUGGUAUUUAGUGAUUAUAGACUGGCACAUUAUUGUAUGAUCCUUGUAACAUGUGUUCCUACAGAACUUAUUCUAUAUGUUUUAGUAUCUCCCAAACAUGGUCUAAAUAUAGGAAGGAAAUUCUAGCAAGUUUCUUUUUAAUGAAUGUCCAAGACAAUACUUCAAUGAUGUUCCUUCUUUAUACCCAAACCAAGCAUUAUGAUUUAUACAUGUAAAUAUCAUAUUGAUACGGUGUUUCUCCAUAUAGAAGCUGCACAAUGUAAAAUCUUCUGAAUUUUUAUUGCACUUAAAUAAUUUAUUUUAUUUUCAAAGUCUAUCUAUUCUGACAGGAGGAAUUUUUCAAAGGGCUCAUACAUUGGUGGGGUCACAUUUGAACUCUAAACAUUUAUCUAUUCUUUUUAACUUGUUUGGGAGGUGUUUAAUUUAUAAAAAAAAAAAAAAAAAAAAAUUAUCCAACAAUACUUCAAUGAUGUUCCUUCUUUAUACCCAAACCAAGCAUUAUGAUUUAUACAUGUAAAUAUCAUAUUGAUACGGUGUUUCUCCAUAUAGAAGCUGCACAAUGUAAAAUCUUCUGAAUUUUUAUUGCACUUAAAUAAUUUAUUUUAUUUUCAAAGUCUAUCUAUUCUGACAGGAGGAAUUUUUCAAAGGGCUCAUACAUUGGUGGGGUCACAUUUGAACUCUAAACAUUUAUCUAUUCUUUUUAACUUGUUUGGGAGGUGUUUAAUUUAUAAAAAAAAAAAAAAAAAAAGAAUUAUCCACUCAUUUCAUGAAACUCACAAGUGUUACCCACUUAUCCAUAACUUUUUCUAUUUAUUUAUAAAUUAAACUGAUUAUAAUCACUUCCCAAACAUGAGUGAAUCAUUAUUUAAAUUUCAUAUUCAACUUGGUUGAGGCAAUAUUGAUUUUUUUUUUACUUGUACACUUAUUAAGUAGGUAACGGUGAGAUUCAAGUCAAGAUAUUUGUGUGCUCCAAUAUCAUGUUAAUCUAUUAGUCUAAAAGUUUUUGGCGUUAUAAAGGGGAUACUUAUUUAUUUAAUUACUUUCUACAAUAUUAAAUUGUUGCGGAAGUUCGCUCCAAAAUCUUCAAAAUUAUGAUUUUCAGGCUCGAUUUCAGGUUACCUUUCUCUAUCAAACAACCAAUUCAAACGGCUCUGACCUACAACCAAUAUUCGACUAGGUUGUUCUCAAUCUAACCCACGAAGAACAAGAUAUCGGUGUUGAUUUUCCAGUUACUAAGGCACGAGAAAAACCAAUGGAUGAAGUCACAAAGAGCCAAAGAUGCAAAGGUAGCCACUGGGUUUUUCUCCUCAAUUCUAGACAUGUUCUUUCUCCUUUCACGCAUAAAUUAGACACUAAAAAUGGCUAGGGCAAUACACCAUAUUUAUAAAUAUAGGUUAGGCUUUAGUUGGAUCAAAAACUGAGUUAAAUGGGCCAAGAUUCAAGAGCCAUCCAAUAGGUAAAUGUGUGGACGUGACCAGCAUUAAUUUCUUAAGCUAUAUCCAACGAUCUACGUUGUUUGCAAUGCAUGACAUUAUUAUAUGGCAUCAAUGGUUAAAAAAUUAUAAAUAGAAGAACAUAAGUUGAUUAUCUUGCAAAUUUCCUUUGUUCGGCAAAAGAAAAUGAUUUCUUUUCAAAAUUUGAUAGUUCCUAUUGCUUCCUUCAUUUUUUUCAUCUUCCUUUUCAAAUGGUACUUUAAUGCUGCUUCAACAGCUCAAAAAAGGUUACCUCCUUUUCCAUCACAACUUCCUCUAAUUGGAAAUUUUCACCAACUCGGCUUAUGCCCUCAUUGCUCAUUGCGAGCAUUAUCCAAACACCAUGGUUCACCAUGAUACCAACACUUAUUGUCUCCUCUGCAGAUGCAGUUUGUGAGAUCAUGAAAAAUCAUGAAAUGGUUUUCUUAAACAUGCCUAAAAUAAACUGUUAGGCAAUUUGUUGUCAAACGACUCUCCGGGCUAUGAUGUAACCCUGGUUUUAUCUAUCAUCAAUUGGUCUUGACCAUAUGAUUGAUUUAUAUGUCGAUACAAUUAUCGAGACAACCCAAUCCACAUUCCUAUGGAACGUUAGAAGCAACCUAUUGUUAAUAGUGUUACUCACGGUUCGUCCCAUUUUUUUGGAGGGCUAUGGUAUUAAUUUGAAGCCCAUUAUUUUGAGGCAAGCCUUGUUUGGUCCACUAAAUAAACCUAACCUAACUUACCUUUUUUGGUCACUUGCUUGGCUUAUAUUCUCGGCCUCCACGAUGAAGAAUGUUCCGUCUCUCUCUGUGACUGCUUCUCGGCUUCUCCUUUUUCAUAUGACCUUUGUGGUUUCUUGUGGGCAUAUUAUUGUUCUUCAUCUUGUCCAACUCUUCGUGAGUAUAUUGUAGCGAUCGGAGGUGGGAAUAUAGGUGGUGGUUUUGGGCGUUGUCUCAACCUGUUGGUGGUGUCGAUCUAUUUGGCAAAACUGAGCCCGAUUUACCUUGGUAUUUGCUGGAACUUGACCCUACAUAAACGUUAUGGACAAAAUUGUUUAUGGCUGCAAGGACAUAGCUUUUUCUCCUUAUGGUGAGCACUGGAGGCAGGUGAGAACUUUAUGUGUACUUAUGCUAUUGAGCAACGAAAGGAUCCAAUCUUUUAGCCAUAUAAGAGAUGAAGAAACGUCCCCUAUGAUCGAGAAAAUUAGACAGUUGCUCUUCUUCAACAUCUUUGAUAAACUUUGAGUAAUCUUUUGGUGUCUCUUACUAGGGAUUUUAUGUAUAGAGUGGCCCUGGGGAGGAAUAUAGUGACGGAGAAGAAAGCAAUAAAUUUGGUUUAAUGUUGAAGUUGAGGCUUUGUUAGGCACUUUUAAUCUAGGGGAUUACAUUCCGUCGCUUAAAUGGUAUAAACGUGUCGAUGGUUUCAAUGUCAGAGUAGAGAAACUGGCUAAACCGCUUGAUGAAUUUUUGGAUGGUGCAGUUGAAGAACAUAGAUAUAAAAAGAAAAGAAAGGCGGAUGGCAACGACAGCACUGGCGAAGCAGAUCAUGUUGACAUAUUGCUUGAAAUUCAGAGAGAAAACAAGGCUGGUUUCCCUUUUGGAACUGAUACCAUGAAAGCUGUAAUAUUUUUAAGAACCUCUGUAUUUUGCUCAUUCAGAUUUCAGCAACACUGUGAAAAUAAUUUGGUUAGAAUAUAAUCUUUUUCCUUGUUCGAAAGGACAUGUUUGCUGCUGGGACUGGUACAACAUAUAUUUCCUUAGAGUGGGAAGUGGCAGAGCUUUUAAAGCACCCGAAAACUAUGGAGAAACUGCAGAAUGAGGUGAGACAAUUAGCCAGAAGCAAAUUGGAGAUAAUAGAGGAAGAUUUAGAUAAAAUCUCCUAUAUGAAGGCAGUGAUCAAAGAGAAUCUAAGACUACAUCCUCCACUUCCAUUACUGCUCCCACGAGAAUCAACCCAAGACACUAAAAUUUAUGGGGUAUGACAUCAGAGUUGCCGAGUUGGAACACGAGUUAUGAUCAAUGCUUGGGCAAUUGCAAGAAACCCAACGGUGUCGGAAAAUCCAGAAGAAUUUCAACCAGAAAUGUUUUGCAACACUGUAAUAGACUUCAAAUGGCUUAAUUUUGCAAUCGGUGUUGUGGGCCUUGCAUUAGCAAAAUUGAUGUAUAAAUUUAACUUCACAAUAGAAAAACAUUUGGACAUGAUCAAGGCCUCUGGAGCUGCUGUCUACAAAAAGUUUCCUCUACUUGUGAUCCCAAGGCCCCAUUCUUGCUGAUGCUUUCUGAGAGUGUCAUCAACUAUUCUCUCUUGCUCUCUAGAAUUCUCUCUGAACGUCAUGAUAAAAGAAUAAAUUUAUCUCAUACUCCUUUGUACUUGGUUCUCAGACUUUGUUCGUUUACACUGAAUAUCAUUGUUUAAAAGAGUUGUUUGAGUCUUAGGCCUCUAAUCCCACCUUACUUUAGAAUUUGAAUAAAUGCUUCAAACGGUUUGAACCUCGAUUCAGGGCAGCUAAACUAUUCGCUAGUUUGUCAUAUCGUUAACUUUUUAUAUUGAUCUUAGCAUUUCCAACUUUCUUUCAAAACUCAAAAUGUUUUAGAGAUUGUCUAUUCUUUUUCCUGGCUUUACACAGGAUAGAAAAGGGAAGGAGAAGAAACAAAUGCUAGUGAUGCAGACAAAAAAGAAUCAGAAGAAACAAAAAGUGACAGAGAAUGAUAGGGUAAUCAAAUAAGCUGAUGAUUCCUAAAUGACUCUUCUGGGUUUUACUUCUAGUAAUAUACAAUAAUUUCGUUAUGUAAUUACUAAUUUAGGACCUUCUUAUUGUUACUUUAUUAAGGUAUAGUUAAAUAAGUACCUCUUUUUGUUUAAAAUUUUGAAAUAUGCGCCAUUUUUAUUCCUAUUGUCACUUACACCUAAUUAAUCAAAUCCUAAUUAAGUCCACGCCUAGUAGAAAUUAACAUCUAAAUUUUAUUUUUAAUCAAACACAACAAUUAAUUUUAACUAUAUAUUCCAUGGGAUUAACAAUUUUUCAACUACACAUUUCAUCAACUUUUAUCAAAAUCCUCUAAAAUUCUGAUUUUAAUCACCACCAAACAAGGGUUAAGAUUGAAGCUAAUUUAAUAUCCACCUAAGCUGCAACCAAGGCAGGAGAGUUAUUGAUUCCCACCUAUCUGGAAUGAAUGAAUAAUAUCAACUUAGUGAUUUUGCGGUUUUGGAAAUUACACCUAUCCAUGCUUCUUAUAUUCUCAAUUCAAAAAUUAGAUUUGAAAAUUUUUUUGCUCAAAAAUCAAAUAAUUUAAACUUCUUAAUAAUAUAAAAUUUAAUUUAAUUCAACACCCAUACCCACCUACGCUCAACCCCCACAAAACCCUGUUCAUCUUUGUGCCAUUUCAUUUUUCUCUCACAAUCGUCCCAACCGUAUACUAGCACCGGCGAUCAUCACACAAGACAACAGGCACAUCAUCGAUGACAGGUGCAUAAGCGAUCUGAUUUGCUUCCUAAUGGGGAUCUCUCUCUCUCUCUCUCUCUCUCUCUCUCUCUCUCUCUCUCCUUGUCUUCUACGUCUGUCUCUAUAUUGGUGCGAUUUGUUCAAGCGUUGUUGUCGCACUGUUGUUCACCUUUCAUAGGCAUUGCCGUGUGCGAGCGAUGCUACUGAUGGAAUUGGUGGUGCACAGGCUAUUGGUGGUACGUGGCAGUGCUAAUGAUAUUGGUGGUUUGCAGUAACGUCAACAAUGUAAUUUUGUGUUGGUGUUGUGAGGUGGCGAUAGUGGUGGUAUAGUGUGGUGGUAAUGUUUGUGGUGUUGUUGGCAACGACGGGGAUAGCGGUGGCGGCGACGACAAGGGGGUGGAGAUCUUUGUGGUGGCGACAACGGGAAUGGUGAGGUGGCGGUGGAGUAGGACUGAAAGUUUGUGAACAAUUAUUUGAAUAUUAUGAUCAAUUUGUGACUAAAAAAUAAUAAGUGACCUAAAAAUAUGUAAUUGUGGCCAAUUUAUUCGAUAAUUUGUGACUGAAUAAUAAUAUGUGACUAAUUAAUUUAAUAAUUUGUGACUGUGAAAUAACUUGAAUUAGAAAAUUUAUUAUUUGUGAUCAAUAAAUAAAUUGUGACUUAUACAAAUUUUGAUUUGUUUUCGACGAAAUUUUUGAUUUGUGACAUAUAAAAUUUUUCAUUUGUGGUAGAGAAAUAAUUUAUGACUAAUUAAUUCUAUAUUUGUGACCAAAUGUAUAAAAUUGUGACUUUAAUAUAUUUAAUUAAUAAAAUAUAUUUUUAAUUAAUUAUUUCAUCAAUAAAAUUAAUAAUAUAUGAUUUUUGAAAAUUUAAUACUUGUUUCUUAAUUUUGAAAUGGGUUAUAGAUAACCUCUUUGAUAUGAAAUUUUCGUCCUUGGCUGAAAUUAAUUUUGAGGUUCUUUUGGGUCUUUUUAAUAGGUUUGAUAGUUUCAACGGUAAAUUUGGACAUUUUAAGUUUUAGGCCAUGUUUUAACUUGUCUAUAAAAUUUAGGUUUGUCUGUUUUGCUCAUUUAUUAAUCUAUCCCUUUUGUUUGUAGUUAUAAUAGAAUAGACUUUAGCCCAUGUUUGGGGCAUCUUCUAAAAAUUCAUUUUGUAAACUAAUUUUCAACCCUACAUUCUUCCAAUAAAAUAAUCUUUUAAUUAAACUCAAAACUUUUGAAUACUUUUUGAAAAUAAAUAACGCAAUAACCAUAUCCAUGUUAAAAAUAUUUAGUGUGGAAUAUUCCUUCCCAUCUAUUUUCUCAAUAAAAAUCUGCGAAUGAUGAAAAUACCCUCCCAUUUCAAUAAAGCAAAAGGAAAAGAAAAGAAUUCAAGGAACUAAUUACAACCAUGGUCCCAAAAAAUUCAAAAAAAUAUAAAUUAGUCCAAAAUAAAUAAUGAGAAAAUAGCUUGCGAAGAUUUAUUUAGAUGGCUUAAAUAGAUAGAUAGUAUAGUUGUUAUCAGACACAAAUUUAGGGCUGUUAUCUUUUUAACGAAAAGAGCUCUCUCAAUGAGCAGCAUUUAGCUAAAGUUGACUUGAUAAGAGAGCCUUUCUCUGUAACCAUUUUUUUCUCUGUAGAACCUUUAUUUGAUUCCGUUACUUUGGUUUUUAAGGUUUAAAUUUUGUCAAAGUCCUAUAGUCAGAUUUCUUCUCCCAGUUUGGUUGUAUACUACAACAGAGGAGUUUGUGUUAGCUUCUGAAGUCUUUUGGAUUUUGGUUAGUUUCCAAUUUCACUUCGAUUCUUAGUAAAACAUAGGUACAUCUUCCAGCAACUUCAACUUUUGUAUUAAAUUCACUAGAAAAAAUCACUCUACCUGGGAGUUCUAGUUUGAAUUAUUUGUUACUGAAGAGGAGUUGUGGGCUCAUAUAGAUGGAUCUACUCUUGCUCCUACUAACUCUACACAAUUGGCUCAACGGAGGGCAAGAGUGAUGUCUUGGAUUACAAGUUCUUGUGACCUUUUGAUUGUUUUUAAUUUACACGCUUAUAAAACUGCUAAGACAAUGUGGAAAUACCAUAAGAAGCAUGAAUACUUGUAAAUUCAUAUAUGAGCCAUAUGAUGUUGAAAAAAGCCCUAAUGCAGUGCCCUGUAUAGUCCGUGCUUCCACCACUCGCAGCUUAAUCCUUAACACAUCCAUCUGUGUUGAUCUUAUAAGAUCACAUUGGUGGAGUGUGCCACACAACCAAAAUAGGUAAUGCUGGAAGGAGUCAUAGAAAUCUCGAAGAGGGUUGAAAGUCUUGAGUCCUCUUGCAACUGCAAAGCUCCAAGUACUCGUCCUUUGAGAAUAAUAGAGAUCAUACAGUAAACUUUUCAGAUAAUAUGUCUGGACACCAUACAGAUUUCCCUAUGCCUUACAUCAUUCCUCUGAGUCUAUAUAAACUAGAAAAUCAGUAGAUGAGUGACAAUGCGAAUAUGUCCACCCUUAUAUACUAUCCUAAAUAGUAUGAUCUCUGAAAUUUCUGCCUGGCGCUCUCUUCGAAUGUCAUAGCUACUUGAAAAAUACCCGUUGAAAUGAUGUCAUGCCCGGGUGGAAAUGUUAUUGCCUGUGAAAAGGUGACCUAAUGGUCUUGAUCUAGGAAUAACACUUACAUUGGGAGCCCAAAUGACAUCUAAUGUACCUCUGUAUGACAUAUACUAGAAUCAAAUCUUACCAAAGUCUUUGGAGAAGAAUAAGAGUGUGGUAGGAAGAAUAGAGCUUCAUAGUAAUCAAAAUGAGUCCUGAGGCCGUCUACCAAAUCAGACUAGCUACCAUGCUGAUUUAGUAGCAAAGAUACCAUUUGAUGUGUCCCUCAAGAAACUGAGGAAUGGAGUCUCUGCACAUAAUGAAUCACCCUGAUAUGCUCUGCCAUAUAGGUAGAAGAGUGUAAUAAUUGUCCAAAAACCCACCCAGUGCCAUCAAAGAAGUCAUGCAACCUUGUAGAUGAGUGUUGCCUUUAUGGAAAUAAGGAGGCCCAAGUAGUAUUUCCCAUUCAACAAUCAUGCCAGAAGAAUAUCUAGUCGACUCUAAGAUGAUAUGCAAUAUGUGGCUCAACUUAUAGCUCAACCAACUUCAGCCUUUUCCCAGACAGGAGAGGCUGACGAAGAACUGCUACAAGUGAUGGAUGUGUUCCCAAGCAAUAUUUGCACAAUAAGAACUGGGUCUAAAAAGAUCUCUAAGACCAAAACAACCACCAAAGCUUUAUGGAGAAAGUGUCCAUCAUGUUCUCUAAUUUCUUAAAGCUUAGUCCAUCCUCAUUAGUUGGAAGGUGAAUCUCUGUCUAAUAUAAACGAUGCUCUUGAUCCUUAGAAUCCUAUAGGAACUGUGCAAAGAUGCUCCCCAAUUCCUUUAGCACAGUCUUAGGGUUGCAUAAUCUAAAGAAGAUAAAGUGGUAUGGAGGAUAGUAGAGAUCUCAACAAAGUAAUUCAUCCCCCAUAGGAAAGUAAUCGAGAUGCCCAGCCCAAAAUCUUGUUCUUCACUUUCUGAAUGAAGUCGUCGUACAGAAAGCUUCUCUUGGACCCCUUAAAUAAUGAAACCCCUAAAUAAGUGAAUGGCUGCUGCUGAUGCGUAAACUUGUUCAAGAACACAAGUCUCUUGAUCUGAAUAUCUGAUGCUCGUCUAGGUAGUAUACGAUCGCUCUUAUCUCUGUUCACAAAUUGGCUAGAGACCCCAACGUUAUGCUUCUAACAAUCGAGGACCCUCCGAUUGAUAGACUAUUUCUGAUCAUUGACAAUGUUAUCAUAUCAUCAGUAAAUGAGAGGUGUGAGACUAGAGUACUACCUCCAUGUCGAUAAUGCAUACUGGAUAGGACUGGAACCUCUGAGUGAAGAGGUGUGAGAAAUAGUUUGCAAUGAUAAUGAACAAGAAAAGUGAGAUGGGGUCAACCUGUCUACGACUGCGUGAUGAUGAGAAAAAAUCACAGGACAAUCAUUUAGGAGUACCUAGAACAUACACUUCUAUAUGUACUGCCUGAUCCUAUCAAAUCAUAACCGAUCAAAUCCAAAUGCCUCAAGUAUUAUAACCCUCCAAUCCAUGUGAUAGUAUACCUUAGCCACAUCGAGCUUUCACAUAGUAUUCCCUCAUCACACUUUAUUACCCAAAGUGUAAAGAAGCUCCAGAGUUAGCAACACUUUAUCCCCAAUAAGGCGACUAGGGAUCAAACUACUCUAUUGAGGAAAACUAAUGUAUUGUAAUAGUGAACUCAAUCUAGUGUUCAAAAGCUCUAUGAUAAGCUUAUUGAACGCUGCACACAGGCUGAUAGGUCUAAAAUCCAUUCAUCUACUAACAUUCUCCUUCUUCGGGAACAAGAUAAUAGAGAUAAUGGCGAAACCACAAAAUAGGUGACCACCUUCAAAGAAAUCAUUAACUCCAUUCUACACAUCAUCCUAUACAAUAUCCCAAUAACAUUGGAAGACAAUUAUAUAAGAAUCCAUUGAGGCUGGCAGUAGUGUUAGAAUAAAUAUUGAAAAUUUUUCCUGUAUCAUAUAAAUCAAAGAGGUUGAUUUAAUUCCAUAUUAUCUGCAUUCGUCAGUAGCCUGGGAAAUAUAUCUAGGCGGAUGGGAUCCAGAGGCAAUGAAGGAGUAUAUAAUGAAUCCUGAUAAAAUGAGAUAGCUGAACUCUGAAUGUUAGUAGAAGUAGAUAGAUCUUUUACUUCCUGAGUCCUAAUAAUCAUGAUACGAAAUAUUGUCCGAUGUCCUUGAACCAUUGCAUUAAAAUAUCGACUGUCAUGGUCACACCCAAUGUGAACCCAUAUUUUGCUUUGAAAAGCCUUCCUCAACGGAUAAAGUUCAGUUCAGAUAAGCCUAUGCAUGAUACAAUAAAUCACGAUGCUCCAUUGUACGGUCACUAUCAUAAUCAACUUACGUCUGGUUGACCUUAUCACUAGCUUCCCUUACUCUUUGGAAUAUAUCUCCAAAUAUAUGUCGAUUCCACCAACAAAGUCCCUUUUUCAACUUGAAGAACUUUUCUUAGAGAAUAGCCAUCCCGUAAGAUGAGUAUAGAGUGAACAAUUCUAAGGGAUGAAGGUUGACAAAUCAUGAUGCUUGGUCCAAACAUUAAGGAAUAUAAAGGGUCUCGACCCCAAAUCAUUGUAAACUAAAGUUUUUAGUGCUAAUCAUGUUAAAAAAAACUAAACUGGCUGAGACAGGGCCCCUAUUACCCACACCCGUCCCAUACCCGCCUCGAAGCGAAAUUCGCCGCCUAGUACCCGACCUGAUUAAGCAGGUAAUACCCAUCCCAUUCAGGGCAGGCCCCAUAGGUAUUGAAUAUGACAGGUAUUUUUGCCAUCUAUAUAUUGUAAGGCCUCAUUUGAUAGCCAUUUUUUUCAAAAUGCGUUUUUCUCUCUCUUCUUUUCAACCACACAUUUUUUAUUAAAAUAAUAUUAUACGUAAAUCAAAAACUUUUCCUUAUUUAUCAACCACAUUUCACAUCAAUUUACUAUUCUAAAAUGCAUUUUUACAUAAAAAUGCCUAUCAAACAUCCCCUAAGCUUUUAACAAAAAACUGCAUCUGUAGAAUUAAUUAAAACUCUAUCGAAUCUUUCCAUGAUCCUGCCAUUGGUUUGCCUAUUGGUCCAAGUACACUGACUCUUCGAGAAACCAGCGUCCUCUGACCCACAAUCUAACAUCAUAUCAGAGAAAGCAAUACCACUUCGAUCACGAGUACAGUAGCCAAUGCACUUUCCUUCUUGUACAAUAAUGUUAAAGUCUCCCCAAACUAACUAAGGAUCAUCUAUAGCAACGAAGAUAUGGUAAAGACCCUCCCAGGAAUCACUCCUAAUAGUAACUUCACAGGAGGCAUAGACGGGGCAGGCUAGUCUGGGAUCUUCAACUCUAACGUGAAGGAACUGCGAUUUUCAUGAAGAACAGUAACAGUAGUCUCUACAUUCCAAAACAUUCAUAUCUUAUUCGACUCUCUCUGAACUCCAGUAUGGAAGAGCAAAUAACAUCGAAUAAAUGAAAACCUCUGCUUAAGAACAAAAGGCCUCCAAAAUGACUAAAAGAUAUACCUGAUGAUGCUGAAUAAGUCUCUUCAGAUGUCUACAAGUAGUUACAUUUCUCACAUUCCAUAUGAAGACAUUCAUAAAGAUAAAAAAAUAUGAUGAGGUGUCCCAUGAUUGACUCCUAGUCACCCUCAUUUAGAUUAGGGUGUCAAAAGCUCGUAGGUAUUUCUUCUAUUCAAAUGGGACAAAUCCAUCAUCGUCUAUCCUUCCAAGCAUGCCAACCGAAUCAUCGGAAGAAGACCUAUGGAAUGGGCCCUAUUGAUAGACCUCAAUAUGUGCUGAACUCUCUGUGUCGGACUACUUUUAAUGCAGAAAGGUAAAAUAUACCUUUAUAUUUUGUUGACAAAUGGGAGAAGUAGUAGUAACAUGUGCCAUAUUCUUACUUGGAGUCGGUCCUAGAAUAUGCGUAGCCCUGGUACCUGUGUCCUCUGAGUAAUAUGGUAUCUAUGGUCUUUGUACCCUAAAAUCCGCUAAGAAAUCAUAUAUGAAGCAUAUGUAGGUUGACAACCUGUAGUGAUGUCACUGCUUGAGUAACUAUAGUAUCGCAGAAUGCAAUACAGAGUUGAUAUGAAAAGUAACUAUGCUAGUAACUGGCUGUGUUGUACUAACUGUGGAGGACACGGCUAAAGUAACUAAUUGAAUUUGAGCAUGUGUAAUAGUAGUGGCAAAUGGAACAAUAGUAACUGCAGAUGGUGCUAGUGGAUGAGUAGAUUGAAUUUGAACAUCUGAAGUGCUAGUGAAAUGUUGUAUCCUCCGAUCUCUUCAAAUUGGGACCUAUCUAUUUGGAGGCUCAAAAAUUACCUCAUUCAUUUUACCCUUGUCCUUGGCCAACAUUGCAAUAGGCCUAGUGGCAGGAUGAACUGAUAUAGUAGUAAUGAUUAGUGCGAUAUGAUUUAUUGAAGUAGCAGGCGAUAGUGCAGAACGUCACCCGAUCAUACAGUGUCCAUCAAGGUGACCGAAAUGCCUCUAUCGAAAGUAGUAAUAUGGUAUCUUAUCAUUUAAUAAGCUCUACCAAUAUCCACCUUUUUUCCCUCUCCAUCCAAAUUCUAUCAGAUAGCUUACAGUCCAGAUUUACCUUUAUGCAUACCCAUGCCUUACUAAGCCAUCGUAGAUUAAAUGUCGCCUCAUCAAUGUGAAGUGAAACUCCAAUAGCCUUGGCUAAGGCAAACAAAAUGCUCUCCACUCGAAAGUGAAUGGGAAACAAAGAAAAUGAAACCCAAACGGCAAAAAUGGAGGUCUCAUUCUGUAGCCUAAAACUUGGUGUCCAUUUGAUAACUCAUAUUGGACAUCCAUCAAUAUACCAAGUGGGUUGAGGAAUAACCUAAAAUCCUUGUGCUCCAAAUGAAUCAAAAUGUGCAUAGCAUCUAUGAGGCUUAUCAUGUAAUCACCACAAAAUCCGAAUUUUAUGAAACUUUCGUAUACCUUAAUUAUGGAAUGUUUACGGUUGAAAAUUUUACCAACAAGUGUAAACUUGUAUGGCACAGAAAGAAGCUCCUCAUCGUCCUUAGUAAAUAAUACAAUAGGCUCACUCUGAUAUAUGUAUGGCUCCUUAGAGACAAGCCGCUGAUUAGUGGAGUCUUGGGUGGCUUGUAAGACUGGAGGAAAUGAGUUUCUCUAGCUUCGCUGAGCCUAAGAGACAAUUGGUUUGCCAAAAAGGACAGCAACAUAUAAUUUCUUACCCUGAGCAUAUGAUGGUUGAGCACCUAGUGCAGGUGAGAACAACCGCAACACCUCACAGAGCUAGAUGUGGUGGUACUAGGUGUCAGGGAUGGUCAUCAUGGAAGGACUUUAAGUUGGUCUAUUGUUUCUACAUUUUUCCAAUCUUAAUUAUAUUGCUUUACCUUUCUCUACAGUUAAUAAUAAAAGUGACAUGUGGCAUAAAUGUUUGGUUCAUCCUCACUCUUUUGUAUUUGUCUCAUUCUUAAACUCUAGUUUAUUGGACCAUAAAAACAACUUUUCAGCUUCUAACUCAGUUUUCUUGGAUUCUUCUACAAGUUAGGAAAGAAUAAAACUCUUUCUUUUCAUGUUAUGGGUAAUUGUGUAGUAAAAUAUUUUGAUAUUGUUCAUAGUGAUAUUAGGGGGAUUACUCGUGUUCUUUUUCAUGCACAUUAUAAAUAUUUUGUGACAUUUAUUGAUGAUUAUAGCAGAUUUACUGGGAUUUAUUUUCUUCAUUCUAAGUUCAAAGUACUUUAUGGUUUUUAGACCACUCUAACAUACAUAAGACUCAAUUUUCUGCUAUUAUCAAGGCGUUGUGAUCUAAUUUUGGGGGAAUAUAUUAUCAUAUUUUUCAAGAUUUUUUGCUUCAAAAGGCAUUAUCUCCCAGUAUUCUAGUCCGUAUGCACCACACAAAAUGGGGGUGACUGAACAAAAAAAUAGACCUCUCUUGGAUGUUGUUCGUAUAUUACUACUUGAGUUUUCUAUUCUACCUAGAUUUUGGUUGGAGACAUUAUCUAUGGCAGUCUAUCUCAUUAAUAGACUGUGUUCUUAGGCAUUAAAUCUAGACUCUAUUUUCCCUUGUAUAACUAGUAUCCUGCCUAUCAUAAUUUGCAUAACUUUGGUCGUGUUUGUUUAGUCCAUCUGCUUGCUCAUGAGCAUCACAAACUUUCUGCUCAAUCUAUUAAAUGUGUUUUUAUGAGUUAUAGUAAUUGUUGAUAACUUCUAACAGACUUUGCAUUUUUUGAAAUGUCGUUUUCCUUGAAAAUCAAUUUUUCAUUCCAAUUUUUGUUAAGUUUUUACUUGCAGGUUAUAUUCUUCAUCAUUUUGAUUAUAUACCUUCAUCUCCCAAAUGAUUCAACAUGGAUUUGUGUCUACUGGACAUCAUCAAUUGCCACUCUUUCCCCAUCCAAAUCCACAUAUGAUCCUACUUUAACACCUAAUACUCUUCCGAUAUUCGAUACUACUUUGACUGUACACAAAAGAUCCACUCGUAUCUCACAUCCUUCUACAUGGUAUGAUUUUUAUACAUCAUUUCUCAUUAUGUUGUCUUCUAUUACGAUUCCGUCUUAUUACUCACAGGCUAUUAAACAUGAGCGUCGAUAGCAAAUACGAGAAGAACUUUGAGCUCUUUAGGAAAAUCAAACAUGGGAUCUUGUCUUAUGUCUAUCUACAGCUAAGCAUAUUGCUUUUAAAUUGGUUUACUCAGUUAAACUUCAUUCUGAAUGUAUAUUUUUACAAGACUGGUGGUUGCCCUAUGGAAUCGACAGUACUAUGGGGUGGACUAUGAGAAGACAUUUCCCCAUGGCAAAAAUGACUAUUGUACGUACCCUUAUUUCAAUUUCUACUUCAUAGGGUUGGCCAUUUCACUAGAUGGAUGUCAAAGAAAAAAUAAAAAAAUUCAUGGUGAUCUCAAGGAGGACAUUUAUAUAAUCCCACCUUCUGGAUUUUUUUCCCUUCUACGUCUGAUGUAUAUAGAUUGAAGUGAUCAUUGUAUGACUUGAAAGAGGCCCCCUGUGUAUUGUUUGAGAAGUUUUGAUCUACCUUGCUCUACUUUACCUCUGUACAGAGUCAAUAUGACUACUAUUUGUUUUUUUCGCAAAACUUCUAAAGGUGUUGUCCUUUUUUGGUAUAUGUUUGAUGAUAUUAUUAUCAUGUGGAUGAAUCUUUUACUAAUUACUCAACUUCAGCAGCAUCUUCACUACUCUUUUCAUAUGAAGGAUCUAGGCCAACUAACCUACUUCUUGGGUUUGGAAAUUCGUAGUGAUCUUUCUUGCAAUUUUUUACAUCAACAUAAGUAUACACGAAAUUUAAUUACUUUAGCCUGACUUCAGGAUUCCUCACUAGUUGAUAUCCCUCUAAAAGUGAAUGUUAAGUAACAUAGAGGAAAUAGAGAUCUCAUUUCUGAUCCUACUAUUUUUCAUCAACUAGUUGGCAGCUUAAACUACUCGACCAUCACUCAACCAUAAAUUUCUCUUUUUGUUCAAUACAUUAGUUAGUUUUUGCAAGCUCCAUGCCACCUACACUUAGCUAUUUUGUGGCAUAUUAUUUGCUAUCUUCAAGGUUCUCCCAGUCAUUAUCUACUAUUUCUAGUUGGUUUUCCUAUCUACCUUAUUGGUUUCAUUGAUGCUAAUUAGGUAAGUUAUCCUAAUACUCGUUGCUAUGUUACAGGUUGGUGUAUGUUUCUUGGAACUUAUUUGCUUUCUUGAAAGAGUAAGAAACAAGACCGUAUUUCAAAAUCUUGACUGCUGCUUGUUCUGAAAUUACUUGGCUUUGAGGAUUAUUUGUUGAGCUUGGUUUUCUUUAGUCGAGUUCUACUCCACUUCAUACUAAUAACACAAUCUCCAUUCAGAUUACUAUGGACCCUCUUUAUCAUGAAUGUACCAAGAAUAUUGAAGUGGAUUGUUAUUGUAUUAGAGAAGCUGUAGAUAUUCGGCUCAUCUCUUUUCCACAUGUCUCCACUGGUUUACAGAUUGUCGAUAUAUUCGUCAAAAUGUUAACUCAACAACAUCAUCUUGUUGCCAAAUUGAUGCUUUUGGAUCCACCAUUCUCAAUUUGAGAAGGAUGUCAUUACAGUAAGCAUCUAGGCAGUUAUGUUGUAUACUAUCUAUGAUAUAUUAUUUCUAUUUGUUCCUGUAAUAGUUGUACAUUAGGUUUAUUUAGUUUCCUUGUAUAGAUUUAUUUAGAUGUCUUACAUAGAUAAAUAAUAUAGUUAUUAUAUAUUUAAUCAAGCACAAAUUCGAGGCUCUUUUCUUUUAAUGAAAUAAGCUUUCUCAAUGAGCAGUAUUCUGCCAAAGUUGACAUGGUAUCAAAGUGUUUCUCUGUAGCCAUAUUUUUUUCUCAGUAGAACCCUUUAUUUGGUUCCUUGGCAUUCAUUAUUACUAUUUGAAUUUUUUCAAAGUCCUGCUAUUAUCAAUUUUCUGAGUAUUAGUCAUGUCGCUUGCUAGGUAAAUAUUGUCUAAGCAAUCACCCCAUGUUAUCAUCUAUUUCAUAUUCCACUUUACCAGUUUGGUGAAAAUUAAAGCUGAUUACUCCAUCGAUAUAGACAUAGCAUUGUAGCUAGGUCCUAGUCAUAUAUUUUUUUAGACGGAGAAAUUUUACUUGUGUAACCUUUUUUCAUACAAACAUUAGUUUCUUUUAUGGUGAUGGCUAAGACAUUGAUCGCCUAUUAUAGGUUUUUCCACUUGUAUGGCCUAGUAGAUUAAGAGCCUGCCAAUUUACUUUGAUGUUCUUGAUCAUAUCCUAUGAAAGGAUACAUUGGAUGGUAAAUUUUCUACCAAAUCUACCUAGUAACUUUUUAGCUCAAGCUUCUCACCUCAAGAUAUCUUUUGCAUGAUCCAGAGCUUCAUUAUUCCUAGAAAGAUUGUUUAGGUCAUUGAGCAAGGCUUUCUUCCAGUUGAUGUUUUGAUCCGCGGCAAUUAGGGUUCUAUUUUGCCUCUCGAUGUUAGUAUUUCUCAGAGAUUGAGACUAUUUCACACUUAUUCAUAGGCAAUGGUAUUUCAUACCAAAUAUGGUGCCAUUUCUAACAUCUAUCCUAAGUCCUUUCGAUACAACGAAGGAUUUUAGUAUCAUUUUCAAAGUUAGCAAUUUUCAAAAAAGUUUGUUUAGUAUCAUCUUCGUACUGUCGUUUCUCUGUUGAUUCUUUGGUUUUUAUGGAGUACGAAUGAUGAUGUGAAGUACAAUGGGAUUGCGAUGGAGCCUUGGAGGAUCAUUUAGCAGGCCUAUUACAUUAUGUCAUUUAUUUAGGUUUGAGCACUGAUAAGAAGACUUGAAUAUCAUCUCUAUUUUUUGUAUUCCUCUCACUCAUCCCAUGCAUUUCCCUCAUAAUUUAGUUUCCUGGAAUACUCCAUCCAUGAGAUCUUACAAGAUCAACAUCAAUAGGCACAUCAAGGGCUACAUUUCUAGUAGUAGGGGUAUCAUUUGAAUCAAUCUAGCUAUUGUAUCCAUGCAUUUUCCUCAUCUUAUGUCUAUAGUCCUAUACUUGAGUCUAACCCAUGAUCCAUUCUUAAUGGGAUUCUUCAUAUGAUGUAGCUUAGACUUUCGGACUUGUGAAUAGAUGUGGACUCUACUUUAGUCACUUAUUCAUCACCUAUGGUGGAGAAUCGUGGUCUAUCUAGACUAAUAGUAGAUAUAUGAGAUAUCUACUUUACUUCAAUCUUGAUAAUAUUAUUCCCAUCUACUGUGAGGGAAACCAAGUUGCUGACUCACUUGCUUCAAAGGAGUGGGAUUGACGCUACUAUAAGGAGUAUGGGCAUGUCGACUUGCCUUGACAACUUUAUGCCUUUAUACAAAUUAAGAGAUAUGACCUUCCCAUUUUCACAUAUAUUUAGGCUUUAUUUUUGCAUCUUCACGUUUGGGCAAAAGGUAGUACCUCUUUAUUAAUCGCUUUUGUCUUUUAUGCUUUUGAUUGGAGGUGAGGUUUUUACCCCCUCCCUAGUAUUCGUUUGUGUUUCUUUUAUAUGAUGAUCGGGGAUCCCCCUUCAAAAUCGUAGUCUUAAGAAAAACAAAUGCUCUCAUCUAAAUCAAAAUUAUAAAUGCUAAUUAUAAAAAUAAGAAGAAAAAAAAUAAAAGAAAAUAUAGUGUUUAACAUCUUGCAAUAUGUUAAGUAAAUCAAUGUUCAUUGUUCAAAUUAAGCAUGCGCAGACCCACAUGUGGUCAUGUGGGGUCAAGUGAUCCAUAAAAAAUUUUAAUUUUUAAUUUUUUGAUUUUUUUAGUAGUAGUCCUUUAUCCUUUACGACUAUUCACGUUUACAGUCAGUUUACUUUAUUAUUCAAUAAACAAGAAAAACCCUCCUCCAAUCUCAAAUAAACACUCAAUCUCCAAUUUCAAUCUCUCUAUUCUUCAACACAAAUAAACUCUCCUUCUACAAUAUCCAAUUCUAUUCUCUAUUCUUCAAUCAUGUAUGGAAUUUUAUGUUUGAAAUUAAAAAUUUCUAAUGUUUAUCUUUGAUUUUUUUCCCUUUACUUUUCCUCUAUUUUUCAUUAGAAUCUGUUUCUCAUCUCUAUUUCACGAUUCCAAAGGUUCGAUUUUUAUAUUUCCUUUCGUCUUCUUCUUCUUUUUUCAUCAAUUGACUUAUGCUUGUAGAUUGAUUCUUUCGGCUAUGUUAUGUAAACUUUCCUCUUUCUUUUCUUUUUUAAUUUCAAUUUUUUAUGCUGUUAAUAUAUUUUGGGGGGUUUUUGAAAUUUUUUGGUUAAAGCCAGUGAAUUAAAGCUGGAAAAUCUUCGGGUGGUAGUACAUAGACAUUGAUCGAGUCAUGCGUCUGGUUUGAAACAUUUCCGGAUCAUAGUUUUUGUUCGUGUCUUGUUUACUGUGAUUGCAUUUUAUCUUCAAAUAUUUGUUAAAAUUUACAUUUGCUGGAGGUCAGGUCCAUGCCCCCCUCCUCUAUUUGUUUUCCCGCUUUUCAUUAUAUAAAAUAAACCACACUAGUGGUAUUUGCUUAAAAAAAAAAAAGGCUAGAAAAUGAUUGCUGGCGAAAAUGUUAAAUCUUGACAAAUAGAGAUUGAGAAAAAGAUCGAAUUUCUUGAGAGUUUGACUAGAAAGUAUCUUCUAGUUGUUGCUUUUACGGUAUAGAGAAUUUUUGCAAUGACGAUUGUCUUGAAUCGUCAACAUGAUUAGAUGAGAGAUUAAUGGCUAUGUGGUAGAUUGGUAGCAUAUAAUGAGAAUGAUGUAUUCGAUAAUAUUGAUAAUGAUUAAUUAAACGAAGUUUUCAAAUUAUGAAAACACGUAGGCUACAAUUGCAGUGUGUGUAUAAACUUAUUUUCGUUAAUAUUAUAUAUAUAUAUUUUUUAUAUUAUAUUUUAGUGCUUGUUUGUGCCCCAUUAUUUGUGAGUAAUGUGUUAUAAAAUAGUGAUUGAUGUUAAAAUGUGUAGUUAAAAAAGAAGAAAAAAUUUUUUAUUUACGUGUAAUAUUAUUUUAAUGAAGAAUAUGUGAUUGAAAAUGAGUAUUGUAGAAAAAAUAAUUUAGUAAAAUGUGAAAAAAUGGUAAACAAACAAAGCCUUAAUUUAUUACCCUACAAUAUAAAAUGUCUUAAUCCGCCUUGGAAAUUUAGUUCCAUAAUAUGUCAAUAUGCUAUUUGAUGUUGACAUAUAUAGCAAUUUUGAUUUCUUAAUUGAUAUAGUAAACUAGCAAUGGAGACAUCGGACACCCACAAAAGAAAAAUACAGCAAAAUCCAUUUGUUAAUUGAAAACAGAUCUGGUUAUGAAAUAAUCACUCUUUCCAUGUGUUGACUUUCGCAUAAAGGUGAUCCUUCCAAAAAUAAUGUCAAGUUAUCUAUUUUUCUUUAUUCAAAAUGCAACUACAUCGAAUUUAUUUAAUCGCAUGGCAGUCCAAUAUUUAUUUGGAAUAAGAUUUGUUUCCUCUUCCUAACUAAGAGGGUGUUUGGAAGUGAUUUUUCACUUCAAAAAAUUGAUUUUUUGACCGUUAUUUCACUAUUUCAUCCAUAAAGUUUGACUUCUUCUCUCACAGAUGACUUCCACUUUUCUCCUAACGAUCAAAAUAUCAAUUCUCAAAAUCGCUCCCAAACGGGGCCUAAGCUCUAUAACCUAUCAUCUUGACUGGUGAGUCCGUUACAUUCAUUGAGACAGAAAAUCCUUUGCUCAAACAUGUUUAGCUUUCAUCAAGAAAUUGAUGAAUUUCUUCCAUUUCUAUACUUUAUUAUCACUUUGUUCUUUGUCUGGUUUCUCCUCAAUUUUUUGUACAUGCCCACUGGUAACAAAAAUCUUCCACCAUCACCUCCAAAACUGCCAGUCUUAGGCAAUCUCCACCAACUGAGUGCGUUGACUCACAGAUCCCUCCAAUCCUUGGCAAAAACAUUGUUGGGAAUUUACUUAAACAUGCACAGGGGAAUUUAACAAGUUUCAAUUCCCAUUCAGGAUUCAGCUUUGUAUUUAGAUAAAAAUUGUGAUAAGAAAUAUACCUUUACUUGUGAUUUGCAAACUCUUUCGCGUUAUUCCUUUCUAGCAGCUUGAAUCUGUCUCCCACAGCUGUCCAAUUGUCCAGCCUCUAAUGUAAUUCACACAGAGAAUAGACUGCAACGGCUAUGGUUUCUCUCUUGUGCCAGCAAGAAUAAUGAAAACAUAACGGACCUCAAACCCUAGCUGUGUAUAUAUAUAAACCCAAACGGACCCCGCCCGGUCCGGUCCGGUCCGGUCCAAUAUUUAAUUAAUCCAAUUAAUUAAACCCGAUCCGUUAAUUAAUUAAUCCAAUUAAUUAAUUCGGGAUUAUAAAUAACAAAUUCAAUUAAUUAAUUUAUCCAACGAUUGUUAAAUUAACCAAUUGACAAUUUGCAAUCUUCCAAUUCUCUUUUGUGUGCGACCCAUUAGGUUCCCGACCACGAUGCCUAACGUCGUGAAAUAUUAUUUUGAUCUAAUCAAAAUUGAUAAAUCAAUACACCCUUUUAAUUUAUCGUCAAUUCACACUCGCCGUCCCUGAUUGACAUCUAGCAAUGUGUAAGGGCAAUACAUGUGACGGGAAAUGUCACGUGGUAUGACAAAACCAAAUUCGUUCGUUUACCGUGAAACUAUUAUCCAUUCGUCAAUACGAUCCGAUCAAUUACGAGAUAUGGAAUUGUGUCAAUCUUGAUCAUUGAUCAUAUCUUUCACUCCACUAUUAAGUCAAUAUAAAUCGAAAACUCCUUUUUGACUUAUGAGUACACCUUGGCCAAGGAUUUCAUUAUCGACUUAAUUAAAUGAAACGCAGAUCAUAAUCUCCUACUAUCUAGGAGUGACGAAUCCUUUAUUAAUCAAUCACAACCUUCAUACGAUUCUUGACGUACCCGAACGAUGUCGUAUUAGCGGCCCCUUUCAGAGCAACAUCCAACACCGCCAAAGUAUGUCUGUCCUCAUAUAAGGUACCAUGACAACCUCAAGUCAAAGGACCAAUUCCACUACCGAACGAUAGAGAUUAGCCACUGACACUCAGAUAGUUAUCCAUGUGGAAUCUCUUAGCGGGUCUCCAAUGUUUUGUUCUAUAACAAAACAUCCACGUGUUCAUUUAAGUGUCACCACACUUUAGCUCGUGAGAUCAGCUACUUACUUCACAAGUAAGAAAUGUCACACGUGAUGGUCUAACUGUAUUAACGAUAUCCGUAUCUCGUUAUUACUUAUGACCAUGGUUUAUUCAAGAUCCAAUUAUAUGUAAUUUGUAUCUCACAAUCACAACUCCUUGUGAUUAACAGAUUACCUAAAAAUUGGAUCUUCGGAUUCUAUUAUUUAAUAUUAUUUAUUACAAAAUUAAUAAUAGAUCUCGCCAAAAUCAAAUGCAUUAAAUAUAUUAAAAGCGUUUACAACCUAAAUCGAUUGGAUCUAGGGCAUAACACUUACAAACAUAUGGUCCUAUGAUGCUGCUUCACUUUGGUAAUAAGCCAACGGUCAUUGUCUCAUCAGCCUAUGCAGCGAAAGAGAUAAUGAAAACUCGGGAUCUAAUCUUUGCCAAGAAACCUGACUCAAGUGUUACCAGGCAAUUAAUGUAUGACGGGAAAGAUGUUUCUGUCGCGCCUUAUGGUGAAUACUGGAGGCAGAUGAAAAGCAUUUGUGUUCUCCAGCUUUUAAGUAAUAAGAGGGUCCAAUCUUUUCGUUCCAUCAGGGAAGAAGAAACAGACCUUUUGAUUAAAAAGGUCAAGGAGACUUCUUUACUUCCAUCCGUUGAACUAUAUCGACUGUAAUUAGUUAUUUGCUCAAUUUCUGAAUACUAUUCUAUUUAUUGUUGUUAUGAAAGUAAGCGCCUAGUCCUAUUUUCUUUCAUCUAUAACGACGUGGCAAAUGAGUUAGCCCAAAUGGCCUCAGGUACUCAAAGGUUUUGAAUUGGAAGUCUACUUGUGAGUAUGGAAUCAUAUUGCCCGUGACUCAAAGAAGGGCGAGAAAGAUUGAACUUCACUACAUACAAGAUGGAGAUGCAAUAGAUUGGAGAACAGAGAUUAAAGGGUUCCUUAAAGAACCUAAUAGAGGGAUUAGUAGGAAAAUGAAGCUGUGUUUGCUGAACUAUACACUAAUAGAUGAAGAGUUGUAUAAGAAACGCUCUAAUGGUGUAUUACUAAAGUGUGUAAGUUUGUAAGAAGCCAAGACGAUCAUGGCUGAGGUGCACGAAGGGAUAUGUGGAGCUCAUCAAGCUGGCCAAAGGAUGAAAUGGUUAAUUAUUAGGAGUGGAUUUUUUGGCCAAAGAUGGGAGAAUUCUGCGUUCAGUAUGCAAAGAGUUGUUUAGCUUGCCAAAAACAUGGUCUAAUACAAAGGGCGCCAGCAUGAGAGAUGGCACCUAUUAUUAAACCUUGGCCGUUCAAGGGUUGGACGAUAGACCUGAUAGGGAAGAUUUAUCCCCCAUCGUCCAAGCAACAUACUUUUGUUAUAGUUGCAACCGACUAUUUCACCAAAUAGGUAGAGGCGGUACCUUUGAAAGAGAUCACCCAGAAGAAUGUUAUAGAGUUUAUCCGUGAUCACAUUAUUUAUAGGUUUGGAAUUCCACAAACUUUAAUGGUAGAUCGCGGAACAUUUUUGAAUGGAGAUCAAGUGAACAAAUUUUUGAGCGAGUUUGGGGUUAAAUUAGUAAACUCCACACCAUACUACGCUCAAUCCAACGGACAAGCGGAAUCUUCUAAUAAGAUUUUAAAAAAUAUCAUCAGAAAGAUGAUAGAUGAAAAUGCCAGAAAUUGGCACGAAUGUCUGAACAAGGCCUUAUGGGCUUAUAGAACAUCACCUCGGUCAAGUACCAAAGUUACUCCUUUCCAACUUGUUUAUGGACAGGAGGUCGUUUUGCCUAUGGAAAUCAACGUGCAAUCGAUUAGAGUGUGCUUGCAACAUAAGUUGAAUGAUGAUGAUUAUGCCGAAUCACUAGUUCAAAAUUUAUUGGGGCUAGACGAAUUAAAGUUGGACGUCUUAGAUAAAUUGCAAGUUCAAAAACAAAGAAUGGCUAAGUUUUAUAAUAAAAAAGUCAUAGUCAAGUCGUUCAGCCUGGGUGAACUAGUUUGGAAGACGAUACUCCCUUUGGAUAGCAAGGAUCCAAAUUACGGGAAGUGGUCGCCCAAUUGGGAAGGACCAUACAAAAUAAACAGUGUGUUGCCCAAUGGAGCGUAUCACUUGGAAGAUUUAGAUGGCACCAAGCACGUGAGAUUCAUUAACGGCAAAUAUUUGAAAAAAUAUGUUCCUUCUUUAUGAGAAUAUGAACAGGUAAGAGCAUAAUCAAAAUAUGUUGAACGAUUAAAGGAUAACAAGGUCAGAGUGAAAUACGUUCAAAUAAAGUCCUUUAUUAUCAAACGUUCAUUACAAAGAUGCGAAAAUACAAAUAAUGGAUGCUCUACAAACUACAAUCAAAAGUAAGCUAAUCUCCCGGUUGAUCGCUGAGUAAGAGGGUGGACUAGCCUCACGCCGCCUUCCUAAAUGCAUCGCUGCAAUGGUGGGAUCGCCGAGUAAGAGGGUGGACUGGCCUCACCACCUUCCUAAAUGCAUCGCUGCAAUGGCGGGCAAAGAGGCUGAGAAGUACUCUCAGCAAGCAAAUUGAGAAGCACUCUCAGCAAGCAAUAUGGCCCGUAAGCAUCCCAAAAAUUGCCUUCUAUCAUCGACUCCUUGUAAAGGGCAAAGAGAUGAUGGGAAGGACUUCAAUGGUAAAAACUUUGCUGCUGGCCGAAAAAUAUUUCCUAUACCUCCCACACCAAAGGUGACAUCAAAGCAAAUAGUAAAAUGGACGGACUAAACAAUCCAUUUUUUUAGAAAGGCGAAGGUUUCGGAUCAGAUUGAUUGUCAGAGUGCCAAACAAUGGCAGCAAAUUGGUUUCGAAGAAGAAAAUGAAGAUGAAGAUGGAGGAUGGAAAAUGCGAAGCAUCCAUGCAUUUAUAGGGAGGUGGAGAUGAAGAGACAGAAUAUGAACAGCCACAUUUCUGCCUAGUAAAUGGAAUUAAAUAGCCCAAAGUCUUAGGAGAAGUGGUGGAAAUAUCAAAAGCAAAUGGGCAAGAUUUUUAGCACGAAGCAGUUAAAUGCUUGAAAAAUUGACAACUAAAAAAUAAAUAUCAAAUAAAUGCACAAGAAGUUAAUGUUCAUUAAUGAUGAACAAAAUUACAAAGGGAAAAUCAAAUUAUAAAAGAAAAAAGGCAUCAUAUGUCUUAAUUACAGUCCACCCCAUACUGAACGAAUUCGUUCCCUAAGUUUUUCCCAAUUCUCGUUCUGCUGAGAGGAAGUGAUGUUCAAUUCGGCCACAACAUCAUCAUCAACUUCCAACUUCUUGUACUGCUCAACCAAGGACUUAGCUCGCUCAAUUCCCUGGGAGGCGUUGCGCUUUUUAGCAGCCAUUCUCGCCUUGCAGUCGUCCAUUUUGGCUUGAAGUUCCUUCAUCUGAGCAGCCAAAUUAACCAUCAAAGAGUCUUCAACCAUGACUUCGGAAGAGAUUUCUUUCAACUCGUCCUCAGCCUUGUUGAUCUCCAUACGCAAAGAUUCUUUCUCAGAUACGGCUCGAAGAUAUUGAGUACUUUUGGCCUUUAGUUCAGCAUUCUUGGCCAGUAAAGAAAGGAUCUCGGAGUGGAUGACCUUCAACGUCGCUUUAAAAUCGACAGAAAGAUUGAGCGACGGAAGCGUCAGUGCUUGCUCCAACUUCGCAUUCAAAUGCUCAAGUUUAUCCUUGUGUCUGGCAGCACUAGCCCUACCAAUGUCCAUAUCCAUGAAGGACACGUACUCAAAUAUCGACUGCUUGAGGAACUCCAAAUCUUCCUCUGAAGAAGCAGCAGGAUGAUCAGAUAGAGCAGGGCGAGACGUCUUGACUUGCCCCCAGGAAGCGAACAAGUCUUGGAUAGAGCGCACUAUCUUGUCAGCGUCCUGCAAAGAAAAUUGCCAAUAUUAAAGAUUCUCACUACAACGAACAAGAUAGAAAUAAAAGUGAAGCAAAGACUACCUCAUCAACAAUAGUGGAAGAUGGCAUGUCCUCAGCCAAGUCUGCCACCAAUGACUCCUCCAUUCGUGAGGACUUCCCCUUGUCUGAGCGAGAAGAUGUUGCCACAACGAGCAAACUCAUAGGAGUAUCUGCAAAAAAUCAAGAGCAACAAAUCAGAAACCAAUAGCACAAGCAAAGGUAAGGCAUAAAAAAAAAACUGAAUUACUUUCUACUUCGAUGUUUGGGGGGUUGACGCCCUGGGAAGAAGGUGGCUCAUCCAUGGGUUGUGAUGAGGAUUCUGGGACUGAAGAUGUCUCUUUAAGCAUAGUCCCCUCAUCAACCGGUUUGGAUGAAGCAGCCUCAGCAGAGGAUGAUGGAGCAGGAGCUGUCGAUGCCAAAGCCUUUGAAGGAGGCUGAACUUUUCUGAGAAGUCUAAAAAAUCAUCAGCACACAGAAAAGUUUCAAGUAUGAAAAAGUAUGCUUGUGAGUAAACCAAUUUAAUUACCUUCCUCCUGACGAUAAGAGGGGUAUCAUCAUCAUCAUCAACAUCAUCCUCCAAAAUGGGAGAUGCUGAGGCUAGCCAUUUGCGGCUUGGGGCACUCUUGGCUGUAGUAGGCUUGGCAGGGAGAGAAGAAGAUGGACGAGCGACUGUUUAGUGCGACGAGAAGGAGAAGGACUCCGAACGGACAAAGGAGUGACUAAAACAGGAGGGGGGGAAGAAAUGCUCGGCUGGUCUAGUGAAUGAAAGGCACAAUUGGCGUCAGUCGCAAAUAAUCUGCGCUUCACUGACGGCCAGAGCUAUUCAAAAAGAGGGUGAAUGGCAUGGCUAGAAUUGAAGGGGGCUAAUGAAAAAUGGCUGGUUAAAAGAAGAUUGCGAGCAUUUAUAGCCUCUACCUCCGCCUUAUUAAUAGUAUGAAAACGGUCAAUUAAGUUCCUUGAAUAGCAAGGAGGAACAGGCCAAGUUUGGCCGAAGCCAAGCUGGCGAGCAAAAAAUUGGGGAGCAUAAAUUUCUACCCCCACCUUGGCAUUGGUCCCAGUUAGAAUAUCAUGAAAUAACUCCCUCCCGGUUAAAAACUGGAUCCAAAUAAGCAUGAAGGUGCUCACACUGUCUAUAGUGAAGGGGGGAUGUAUAUAGUUUGGAGUCAAAAAAGGAGGAAAAGAAAAAAAGGAAGAGAUUGAAUCCAAAGAAUAAAAGAAUGAAAAAAUGUCCCUUCUGGACAUAUUUACAGGAGCCAAGAGCUCCAUGGCUAGCCCAUAAUAGCUAGUAGAGGAGCGAGAAAUUGAUGGAGCACCAAGCAAUAUAAACAAUUACUAAUAAGUGACAAGGUCUAUAAACUUCAAUAUCUAGAGUCUAAAUUAUCCGAAUAGCCUUUUUCUCAGGACUAAUAUAUAUAAUAAUUACAAGAUAUCCAAUGAGCCCAAUAUUGAUAUACUUAUACUUGUUCUUUUGAAAUUUAAUUAUUUAACUCAUAUAUAAUUAUGAAUUUAAAACAUAUUUCAUUUAGUCCUUAAUUUUUUAAAUAUAAAAAUAUAUUUUUUUAUUCUAAUUUUUUUUUGGGCGUUACAAUCUCCCCACCUUAAAUAUUCCGUCCUCAAAAAUUACCUUAACUAAUCGAAGAGUUUUGGAUAUUUGAUUUUAAGCUCAUCUUCCUUCUCCCAUGUUGACUCGUCUAAUCCAUGAUUAUGCCAUAGCAUCUUGACCAGUGGAACUUCUCAGUUCCUAAGUUCAUGCACUUUUCUGUCCAAAAUCGUCGUUGGAGUUUCUUCGUAUGACAGGUAUUUUUGUACCUCUAAAGUUUGGUAAUUUACCACGUGAUUAGAAUCAUGAACAUAUUUUCUCAUCAUGAAAAUAUGAAACACGUUAUCUGCUGCCAAUUUAGGUGGUAAGGCAGGUCGGUAAGCCACACUGUCAAUCCUUUCGAUAAUUUCAAAAGGUCUGAUGAAACGUGGCCUAAGCUUCCCUUUCUUUCCAAACCUGAGCACACCCUUCAUUGGUGUUACCUUUAGAAAAACUUUGUCACCCAUUUGAAAUUCUAAAUCUUUUCUCCUACCAUCGGCAUAACUUUUCUAUCGAUCUUGUGUUGCCUUUAUUCUUGCUCUAAUCUUAUCAACCGUCUCAACUAUUCGUUCAAUAUUUCAGGACCCAAAAUUCUCUUCUCCCCGACCUCGUCCCAAUGGAUAGGAGAUUUGCACUUUCUACCAUAAAGAGCUUCAUAUGGGGCCAUACCUAUAGUGGCUCGAAAACUAUUGUUGUAUGUAAAGUCCACUAAUGGCAGGUGUGUCUCCCAACUUUCGCCCAGUUCCAAAACACAUGCUCUCAAUUAUCUUCAAAAGUUUGAAUGGUUCUUUUUUAUUGUCCAUCUGUCUGUGGAUGAUAAGUAGUACUAAACUUCAAUUUCGUUCCUAUGGCUGCCUGUAAACUUUUCUAAAAUUUUUAUACGAAUCUCAAGUCUCUAUUUGAAACAACGAUGAUAGAAACUCCAUGCAGUCUGACUAUCUCUCUCAUAUAUAGCUAUGCGAGCUAUUCCAUACUAAAAUUUACUUUGAUUUGCAGGAUAUGAGCUAACUUCGUCAAACGAUCAACCACUAUCCAAAUAGCCUUGUGACCCCUAUUGACCUUGGAAAACCUACCACAAAAUCCAUCACUAUGUGUUCCCAUUUCCAUUCUGGAAUAUCCAACGAGUUCAGCAAUCCUGAUAGCCUUUAAUGUUCUGCCUUAAUUUGUUGACAAACGAUACAUUUCUCCACAAAUAGCACAAUUUCUCUCUUUAUGUUCCUCCACCAAAAGGUAUCUCGGAGAUCUCGAUACAUUUUUGUACUGCCUGAAUGUGCAGUAUAGGGGUAACAUGAGUCUCUUCCAAUAUCUCAUUUCUUAUACUUUCAUCUUUAGGUACACACAACUUUUCUUUUAAAGUCAACGCAUUAUCUGCAUAUACCUCAAAUCCUAUACGUUUAUUUGUACCAAUCUCAACUUUUAUCUUCUGUAGAAAUGAAUACUUAUCCUAUGCUUUCUUGAUUCGAUCUCAAAGAGUAGGUCGAAUCAUAAACGCUCUUAUUCUCGUUGUAGUCUGAGUCAACGGUGUGAUGACUUCCAAUCUCUUAUCAAGUGCUCCUGAAUUGUGGGUAAGACUGUUAACUGCGAUCCUAUCUUCCUACUUAAGGCAUCUGGAAUUACGUUAGCCUUACCCAGAUGGUAAUGAAUUGUACAGUCAUAAUCUUUCACUAAUUCCAACCAUCUUCUCUGUCUCAUAUUUAGUUCCUUCUAUGUGAAGAAAUAUUUAAGGCUCUUGUGGUCUAUGCAGAUUUCACAUCUCCUACCAUAGAGAUAAUGACACCAUAUUUUUAGGGCAUAAACUACUGCUACUAGUUCCAAGUCAUGAGUCGGAUAAUUCUGCUCGUACUAUUUCAACUAUCUCGAGGCAUAAGCAAUCACAUUCCCAUGUUGCAUCAAAACACAACCUAAGCCGUGUUUGAAAGCAUCCCUAUAAAUUACAAACCCAUCAGAACCUUCAGGUAUAGUUAAAAUAGGAGCCGAGAGUAAUCUCUAUUUAAGUUCCAGAAAACACUCCUCACAUUUUUUCAUCUACUAAAAUUUCACCCCCUUUCGAGUCAGUUGAGUCAUUGGACCUGCUAUUUUUGAUAAACCCUCAGUAAAUCAUCAAUAAUAGCUAGCCAACCAUAAGAAAAUGCGAACUUCACUUGCACUAGACGGACUAGGCCAAUUAGUUACUACUUUCACUUUAACUAAGUCUACUUCAAUUCCUUGAGCAGUAACCACAUGACCAAGAAAACUUACGUGAUCGAGCCAAAAUUCAUACUUCUUGAAUUUAGCAUAUAAUUUUUCCUUCCUCAAAGUAUCAAAUAUUACUCGGAGUAGUUCCUCAUACUAUUUCCUAUCUUUGGAGUACACAAGUAUAUCAUCAAUAAAUACUAUGACGAACUGGUCCAAAUACUAAUAAAACACAUAGUUCAUCAGGUCCAUAAAUAUCAUUGGAGCAUUGGUCAAAUUGAAAGGCAUGACAGUGAACUCAUAAUGCCCAUAACGAGUCCUGAAAGCAGUUUUUAGUGUAUCGCCUGCCUUAAUCAUUAGCUGAUGAUACCUCGACCUCAAGUCAAUGUUCGAAAACACCGUUGCACCUCUUAACUGGUUGAAUAAUUCUUCUAUUCUUGGUAGGGGUAUCUAUUUUAGAUAGUAAAAUGAUUCAAUUCUCGAUAGUCAAUGCAUAUCCUCAUACUCCCAUUCUUUUUCUUUACAAAAAGUACUAGAGCGCCCAAGAAGAUACACUCAGUCGAAUGAAACCUUUUUCCAGCAACUCCUUCAAUUGUAACUUCAAUUCUUGGAGUUCUUUCGAUGCCAUUCUAUACGGAGCCUUAAAUAUUGGUACCGUGCUAGGAACUAAGUCAAUUGUAGAUUCCACUUGCCUAUCUCGUGAAAUGUUGGGUAGGUCUUCUGGAAAUACGUCUGCAAAAUCUCACACAAUGUUAAUAUAUUUAACGGUUGUUUCUGUAUGUUUGGAACCGUUGAUAUUAACUAAGAAUCCUUGAUACUCCCUUCUCAACACCAUCUCCGCUUGUACAGCUGACAUAAGGUGAGGUAGAGACUUGGACUUUGCUCCAAAGAAACGAAACCCUUCCUCUCCCGGUCUAUGAAAUAACACUUCCUUCUCAUGACAUCGAAUGGUUGCAUGAUUGAUCCCAACCAGUCCAUGUCUAAAAUAACAUCAAAAUCUUCCAUCUCCAAAAGGUAUAAGUCCGCCGGUAGUAUAUUUCCAUCAAUCUCUGACUUCAUAGUUCUAGUCAUCUGAUUUGAACAAAGAGUUCUCCCUGAAUGGAUGCUAACCUCUAAUGCAUUAUCCAUUUUCACACAUGCAAUGUCAUACUUAGUGAUGAAUGAUGUAGAGAUAAAAGAAUUUGUAGCCUCAGAGUCAAAAAGUACAUUAACAGAUACAUUAGAUAAUAACAAAAUACCUAUUUUUGUAAUUAUGAUGUUAGACAUAAUGAUUGGGAAUGCAAAAUCAAGAACAUAAACAAGUACUUCAAAUAAUAAUAAAAUACCUGCUAUCACAUUUGGAUCUUGCUCUGCCUCAUGCUGAUUUAAUGCAAAAACUCGAGCCUUCCCUUUCUUGUUCUUGUUCUGAUCAUCAUCCUUCUUUCGCGAAGGCUCUGUACAGUGCAAAGUGAUAUGCCCAGGCUUACCACAUCAAAAACAUAUGUUCUUCCUAAAUAAGCAUUCACCCCUAUAAGACUUAUUACACUUAGGACAUAGUGUAAUACCUCCACUUAACCUACCGAUGCGAACUCUUGGGCUUGGCAUUUAUUCUGCCAGUUAUAUUUGUCCUUGCUCUGAUUAUUCGACUUUCUUUUUCCUAACGACUCCUUGCUCUGUUGGGCAUACUGCUCAAAUGUAGUCCUCUAAUAUGAAAUAGUAUAAACCCUCUCCAACAUUUCACGAUAUGAAGUGAAACGAUGCGACAUAAUGAUCAUUCCAAUUUUUUGGUAUAGUCCAUUUUCAAACCUCCUGAUCUUCUUGACUUCUGUAACUACUAAGUGUGGGGUAUACCUUGAGAGCUAUUCAAACUAUCUCUCGAAUUAGUAAGCAACGUGUUUUCCUAUUUGAGCUGUAAAAACUCUAAUUCCUUGAAGUCUCUCAAAGCAUGUGGGAAGUACUUUUCCAUCACUUCUUUCUUAAAUUGUUCGCAAGUCAGGUUACCUGUUGCUCUUCGGUCUUAGUGUGUGUGACAGAUUCCCACCAGUAACCGGCUACUCCAAUCAACUUGAAUCUACGCAUAGUACCUUCUGUGCAUCCAUGUAAGAAAUAUGUCGAAAAAUGCAUUCCAGACCUCUAAUCCACUCCUCAACGGCCAGUGGGUCAGAAUUUCCAUUGAAAGUAGGAGGCUUAUUCCUACGAAACUGCUCAACCAUGGAAACAACUCCAAGGACAGAUAGAGUGCAUCCUGCUGUGGUAGCCCAUUUUGUGGUGGAGGUACUUGAUUUUGUCUAGUCAACUCCUACACCAUUUGCAACAAGUCACGCAUCAAAUUUGUGUGGGUAGGUGGUACCAUUUCCUAAAAUUUAACAUUAAGUCACUCAUCAUCUAUUAGUACUAAGUCUAAGAUAUUAUUAUAGAUAACAUCAUCAUUUCAUGUACAUUUAGCAAGCAAUAGUCAGUAAAUUGAAACAAUAUCACAUAGUUUAUAUUAACAAGAAAUUAAUAAUACACAAACGCAAUGGAUAAGAUAUAUGCCUACGGGUUACAACAUCCGCUAUUAGCAUAAAAUAUUAAAUAUAAUUCAAACAAGCAUUGUAACCUUCGAUAUUAUACAAUUACAGUUAUUAUAUCGUAUUAUUAUUAUUAUUAUUUAUUUCAUUUAUUUAUUUAUUUUUGCCUGCUAAAAAUAAGCAUCAUUAUACAAUAUUCAUUCAUAUAACUGUAAUGUAGACUCUUGCCAACAUACUCUUUUGCCACAUAUAUUAUAUGCAACGUUUUAGAACACCAAGUUUUGUGUGUAAAUACCAUAAUAAUUCUUUUUUUUUUUUAAACAUUGUAAGCAUUUCCCAGUCAUCAUUGCCACCCGUUUGAACCCCAUUAACUUAUGUACCUCCCAUUUUACUUGUGUAAUGCCAUUCUUACUCUUGCCACCGCUCAGCAAGAUGGCAAAACUAGAGGCACAAAUGUCAUUUUAUGCAUUAAUCAAUUUAGUAGUCAAACCCUCGUGAACCACAUAAGUGUGCUGUCAAUUAUAAUUUAUAUGUGGGGCCUAGCAAUAUUUGAAAAAGUUGGAAAUUUAAUAAUUUUUCAUGGGGCAAACGAAGGCUAGAUUUCUAGUUAUGUAAUUUGACUUAAACAUUAAUCACAAUUAGCACUUUAUUUAAUCAUAACCUAUGACCAUAACUACUUAACUUUUUUUUUUUUAUCAUUAUUCAUUACGAAAAGUGACAUGGUAACGUUCAUUAUGACCAGUAUCGUCGUCACUGUUCAUUUAUGAACAGUUUUUUUUUUUUUUUUUAAUUCCUAAUCACAAAAAAAAAAAUCAUAAUGGGUCUACAAAAAAAGUAAACCUAGGCUCUGAUACCAAACUGUAACUACCCAAAUUUUUGUAAUUUUAAUCGCUACCAAACAUGAUAUAUUCUAAACAUAUUAACAAAUAAAAUUUUCCACCAAUAAAAACAUAACAAAGUUUUAUAUUUAAUACUUAAUUAGACAUGUUUAAAAUUUCAAAUUAAAACUUUUUGUGAAUUUAAAACUAAGAAAUUUUUAACAUAAAAGAAAAUUAUCUUAUUACUGCGGAUUAUUUUUAGUCUGUCCCAUAAGUCAUGGUAUCAUGACAACACCACAAGCCCGCCAACUAACAACCCGUUCUAACCUGUGAGGAGUAGGGAAAAGAGUGAGUGCAUGAAUAUACUCAGUUGGACGCGAAAAUAGUGGUGCGAUCCCGAAUAAAAUAUUUAGAUCAUGCUUUCAAAAAAUCAUACCGUCAUCAUAUCGUUUGAAACUGGUAAGAGCUCAUAGUAUAUCAUAUCUUUAGUACCGGAUAGUCAUUUCAUAUCAUACCAUAAUCAUCAUAUCAAUUCAUAAUUUUCAUAAGUAUAAUAAUUUAUCAACAUGAAAAAAAUAUAAUCUAGACGGGACAAAAUACUUACACCUUGUAGUCCUACCUUGAUUGACAAAAAGAGUUUUCUUGAAAGAAAUGCAGUAAUUUCACCUUCUAAGACUCCCCCUUUUUUGUACAAUUCAUGAAUAUCCCUUUCCGUUCAAUUAAAAAUAUCACAAUUUCAUUUAUUUUUGUAUUUUCAACUUGCAAUGCUUAUUUAGGUAGACAAAGAUUUUCCAUCUAUAAUAUUAAUAUCACCUAAUAAAGCCACAUGUUUUUCCAUAUUAGUGGCUCAAUUUACUAAUUUGCCUUUUAUUUAUACACGUAUCCAAUUCAUUUCAUUUCAAAUAAGGCAAUUACCAAAUUCUUAAUCAAGGACAGCUGACACCAUGGGAGCAAAAGGUCAUGGUUAUUGUGUACUAUCCCAAGAAAAUUGACUGUAUAUAUAUAUGUGUGUGUGUGUAUAUAUAUAUAUAUUAUCAUUCAUACAAAAAAAAUACUAUUUUAUUCCAACCCUAUCCAACUACACGUGUUGCCAUUCUUAAAAAAAUGAAUAAUAAUAAUAAUAAUAAACAAUUACUAAUAAAUGAUAAGGUCUAUGAACUUCAAUAUCUAGAGUCUAACUAAUCCGAAUUGCCUUUUUCUCGGGACUAAUAUAUAUAUAAUUAAUUACGAGCUAUCCAAUGAGCCCAAUAUUGAUAUACUUAUAUUUGCUCUUUCGAAAUUUAAUUAUAUGACUCAUAUAGGAUUAUGAAUUUAAAACAAUUUCAUUUUAGUCCUUUUUUUAAAAUAUGAAAAUAACAUAAUACAUUUUUAUUCUAAUUUUUUUUUUUGGGCGUUACAGGUGCACACAUAAGUAUUAAGAAAUAUACUAGCAUAAAAAAAAAAAAAAAAAUCUUGACUCAUUCAUCCAAUGUUUUGCAAUUGAGAUUUGAAAUUUUGAAAUUAGAUAUGAAAACUAUUUUUUGAAAGCCCUUGUUCUUUUAUUUAGAAUUGGGACCCACUACUUUCGAGUAAGCGGAGUUAAAAUUAUACACAAACUAAUUGUUAAAUAUAUAAUUUUUUUUAAAAUCAAAAUAUUUUUAAGAAAUAAUAAGGUUUGAUUAUAUCAUUUUCCAGACAACAUGUAAUCUUGGCAUACUUAUAUUGUUUUCAAAAAUGAGUUUUUUUAAUCAAGUUCUAAGUAUUAUUGAUAAAGUACAAUGCCCAAGCUAAAUACAUAAAGUCAUAAUGGGAACCAACUCACAUCUUUUGUAACGGCCCAGAUUCCAAUUCUUGGAUUUCUCGGUUCGAGAAAUCAAGAUAAGAGAAUCGAACUUACUCUUUUUCUUCUAUGCCCAAGCUGUUAUAUCAUACUAGUGUCCGCUUUGGUGGACAUCGCCCACUUACUCCCUCACAACUUUAUAUCAUGUCCCAAGGAUUCGAACACAAAGCCUCUGUUUAAUGAGAGGCUUAAGUUGAAUUCUCAUAUUAAUUGGUUGACAAUACUUGUGAUAUAACGAUUUGGAUAUAAAUGCUGGGUCGUUGGCCAUUUUCAACGCCGUAUCAAAUUUUUGCACAAUUCUGCACCAAACUAAAAUCAUCUCCAAGCAUUACACUAAAACUUACCAAAUAAGUUUAAAUUCAUUAUUAAAUAUAAAAAAUAGUGCAAUGCAUUUCGAAUUUGAAUAUUAUGAUAUUACAAAGUAGAAAUAUCACUACAUUUUAAUUCUCGAAAUUCGUACGUUCUUCCCACAAAUGAUCGAUUAAUAUAUGUAUGUGGUUAUUAUAAUAUGUUUCGUAUUAACUUUAAAUAAUCGUGUUUGUUAUAUAUUAAUUUUUUUAGUCUUAUUUUAAUUAAUUCAAUAAUUAUUAUCUUUUACACUUAAAAUAAAUUUUAAAUGGAAAUAAUAAUUGUAAUAGUAAUAGUAAUAGUAAUAAUAAUAAUAAUAAUAAUAAUUGUAUUAAAAUAUAUAUAUAUAUUACAAAUGACACAAAUACCCUCCAUCAAUUACUUUGACAAAUGGAAGAAAGGGCAAAUUUGACGUUGCACCUUUUUGCAUUUUGCCCAAAAUAGUUUAAAUUUUCGUGCCCCAUUAGAGAGCUUUUGCACCAAAUUUUGAUGAAGUUUGGUGUUUUGGUGAUAACAUUUGAGAUGGCCUUACAACAUUAUUGUUUAGUGGUUGAGCUAUUCUUUUUGAAAAUAGGUUGUUACUGAAGUUAGAUUUUGAUUAAUUUUUGGAAGGAUAUUGACACAAGUUGUCGAAGUUGAGAUUUUAGAUAUGGUUGAGAUUUAGAAUUUACUGAGAACUUUUGUUGAGGUACGUGUUCUUGAAUUUGGCUGGUUUUGGUCUAGUUAAUCAAGAAAGCUAUUUGCAACUAGAUAAUUAGGAUUCAAAUUUGUAUCCAUUUAAGUCGAAAUUCGAUAUUUUUAUCCAAUCAGUCUAGAUUCAGUGAUGUAGUUCAAUCCAGAUUCUAAUGGACAUUGGAGCUUGGGUUGAAGAGAUCAAAAUUACGGACUAGGAAGAAAAGUUGUCGCAUUUUCAAUAGCUUGCCUCUAGCUGGCCACUCUAGCGACGCUUGCAUAUUUUCUAUAGAGAUUUGUCGCUGCCCAUCACCCACCUGGUGCUCGAGCAGCGAAACUGUCGCCCGCCUACUACUCACCUAUCGCUCAAGUGAUAAGGUUAUCAGGCCUGGGCCGUUUUUCUUUCUUACUCAUUUUUGGACUCAUAUUAAUCUACAACUUGAUUUUUAGCAUCUUAUAUAUACAAGUCACGGCUUGUAUUAUUCUCAUAACAUUCAUACAACAUCUUGAGAGCUUUAGAUCUUAAUUACUUAUUGAGAUCCUUUUGUGCACACAAUUACAAUUGAUUAUAACGGAUUUCUCCUCCUUUGGACUAGAGGUUUUUUCACAUCUUGGAUUUCCAUAUAAAUUUGGUGUUUUUAUUUUGUUCUUGUUUAGUUCAUUAUUGUCAUUAUCUAGCAAUCAACCCGUAACAAGUGGUACCGGAGUAAGGUUAAUUAUUAUGCAUGACUAUGAUGAAUUAUGAUUUUCCGUCAUUGGAUCGAAACAAGAUAUUUAUUUUAUGGCAAGUGAAAAUGGGAGCAGUUCUCACGCAGAUGGAUUUGAAGGAAGCAUUGUUUGGCUUUGAUAAAAUGCCUUCAAUCUCAAAUCAAAUCCCUCAGGACAUUCUAAAGAAAAAACGUUCCACUACAUUGUAGUGGAAGUUGGAGCAACUUUGUAUGACGAAGAGCUUGACCACCAAGUUACACUUGAAACACCGCUUGUAAUCUUAACAAGUGUCCGAAGAUACAUCAUUAGAUGAUCACUUAACUAAGUUCAAAGACAUCGUAGCCAAUUUGGAGACAUUAGAAGUUAUUUUAUGACAAGUAUGACUUGGUUUUGAUGUUGUUAUGUUCUCUAUCGCCAACAUAUAUGACUUUUAGAGAUACUAUUCUCUAUAGUCGAAUACUCUCACUGUGGAAGAGGUCUAUGAUGCUUUACUAUUGAAUAAAAGAUUAGGCAUUUUGCUGGAGGAUUUGGGAGUCAAGCUAGAGGCCUUGUUGUUCGUGGGAGAAAUCUGGAUAGCAAUCUUGGUCGUAAUAUGAUGGGCAGACUGGAAUCUAGACAUGUAGAGAAAUAUGUCAUUACUGUAAGAAGAAGGGGCGUUAGAAUUGAUUCCGAUUAAUUGAAAAAUAGAAAUAAAGCUGAUAGUGCUACAGAAAGAGGAAAGCAACAUGUUAACAUAGCGGAGGCUAAUGUUGUGGAAGAUGGGCAAAGUAAAAGAGAGCUCCAUGUAAUUUUUGACAUAGGUUCCAAACUUUAUGAAAAAUGGGUUUUUGACUCAGCAUGUACUUUUCAUAUGUGCCCGUGGGGAUUGUUUGCAACAUCUGAAAGAAUUUUGAGAUGUGUAAUGAUUAUGGAAAACAACACGAUUUGCAAAAUUGUCGGAGGUUGUCCAGUCAGAAUCAGAAUGUUCGAUGGUGUUGUUAGAACACUUAUAGAUAUAACGCACGUUCUAGAUAUGAAGCGAAAUCUCAUAUCUUUGAGCACAAUUGACUCAAAGGGUCGUAAAUACACUGGUGUAAUUGGAGUUUUGAAGGUGGGUGGGGGCACACUUUUUGUCAAGAAAAGACAGCAAAACUCUACACAAAUGUAUAUCUUGUAAGGUUUCAUAGUAAUAAAAGAUAUAACAAUUUCUACUUCUUCUUUGACUGAUGAAAAAGUUACUAAACUUUGGCAUAUGAGACUUGAGCAUAUGAAUAAGAUAGGUAUGACAAAGUUGAGUAGGAAAGGACUUCUUGAUGGGCAGAAGACCAGUAAGAUGAAGUUUUGUGAGCAUUGUGUCCUUGAAAAAUAGAAAAAUGCUAGAUUCACUAAAGGAAAACAUAACAUGAAAAGAACACUUGAAUAUAUCCAUUCAAAUCUUUGGGGACCGGUCAAGGUACCUUCAAAAGAUGGUGUUUAUUACUUGUUGACUGUGAUUGAGCAUUUCUCCUGAAAAGUAUGGGGAUGAUGUGUUUGGGACCUUCAAUGAGUGGAAAAAUUGAUAGAAAAAUAGAUGGGAAAGCAAGUGAAAUGUCUACGCACAAAUUAUGGGCUAGAGUUUUGUUAAAUGAAUUCAAUAGCUUCUGUAAGGUUGAAGGCAUCUUGAACGAUUAACAAUGCUCAAAACUCCUCAAUAGAAUAGUGUGACAGAACGGAUAAAUAGAAAUUUGAUGGAAAAGGCUCGUUAUAUUCUUUCAAAUUCUAGAUUGCAUAAUACUUUUUCGGAUGAAGCUACUACUACAACUAAUUUUCUGAUUAAUCGCUCACCCUCAGCUGCCAUUAAGAAAAAGACACCAGAAGAGAUAUGGUCUAGUAAACCUGCUUACCAAAAAAGGUAUGGUCUGGUAAACUUUCUUAUUAUUCUGAUUUUAAAAUAUUUAGUAUCCUGCUUAUGCUCAUGUGGAUCUAGAAGUGUAUCUUUCUUAGAUAUAAAUUAGUUGCGAAGGGGUAUAUAUUGUACUAUCCUGAGACAAGAAAGGUUGUGGUUAAUAAGAUGUAGAAUUUGGUCAACUUGUUAUGGUUCAUGGUUUACCUUUUAGGAUUCUGAUAAAACUGAGGAAUGGAAUCAUUCAACUCAGGUAGAGUUAGAAAUUGGUCCAAGGGAACAAUCAGAAGUUUCAAAAUAGUCUACUAUAGAUCAAUCUAGUCCAGAAUUAACAAACAGUAAUACUUUGCCUAAACCCCAGCAACACCACAGUAUUCAAUUGCUAACAAUAGAACUCGCAGACAGAUUAAACCUCCACAGAAGUAUGGAGAAGCAGUUUUGGUAGCUUAUGCAUUGAAUGUGGCUGAAGAUAUUAAUUCCACUUAGGAGCCUGUUCAGAGACAGACAGUUGCAAUGAUUCCAGCAGAUGAUUGAUUUCUAUGCAAGAGGAGAAGGGAUCACUGAAUAAAAACAGUACUUAGGACUUUGUAAAAUUACCUAAGGAUAAAAGGGUUGUUCGCUACAAGUGAGUGUUCAGAAUAAGAAAAUGACAUCAAGGAUUAAAGAUACUAGGUAUAAGACUAGACUAGUAGCAAAGGACUACAAUCAGAUUCCACGUAUUAACUUUAUAGAUGUGUUUUCAACAAUUGUGAAGCAUAGUUCAAAAUCGGGCUUUACUUGGAAUAGUAACAAAGAAUGAUUUGGGGCUUGAAUAGAUAGAUGUUAAUAUAGAAUUCUUGAAUAAAGAAUUUGAGGAGAAUAUUUACAUACAAAAACCAGAAGAUCUCGUAGUUUCUGGAAAGAAAGACUGUGUUAUGUUUGAAGAAGUCCAUGUAUAGACUAAAGCUGUCAUCGAGGUAGUGGUAUAAAAGGUUCGAUUCAUUCAUGACUACUCAUAGUUUUAUUAGAAGUAGUUAUGAUAGAUGUGUGUACGUCGGACAGGAAGAUAGUGGAUUGAUCACAUAUUUGUUAUUAUAUAUUGAUGAUAUGCCCAUAAUAGCUAAAGACAAAGCCGAGUUUAGAAAGACGAAAUCAUAAUUUAAUAAGGAGUCUGUAUAAAAGAUUUGGCACAGCAAAAAAAUUCUUUGUAUGGAGAUUUUGAAGGAUAGAAAGGCUGGCAGAUUGUAUUUGAGUCAAAAGGGAUACAUUAAGAAUGUGCUUCAAAGGUUUGAUAUACUGAAUGCUAAGGCUAUCAAUGCUCCAUUAGCUACCCACUUCAAAUUAUCAUCUAGAUUAUGUCCUCAAUCAGAUGAAGAUAUUGAUUAUAUAUUUUGGAUUCAUUAUUCCAGUGUAGCUAGUUCAUUUAUAUAUACUAUGGCUUGUACAAUCAAAAUUUGACACAUGCAGUUAGUGUAGUUAGUAGACAAUGGCAAAUCCUGAGAACUAAAAUUGGAAACCAGUACUAUGGAUAUUUAGAUACCUGAAGGGCUCUACUAAUGCUUGCUUGUAUUUUGGUGGAAAUGCAGAUGGGGUCAUUGGAUAUGUGGAUUCAGAAUAUGUAGGGGAUCUUGAUAAUAGGAGAUCAUUUACAGGGUACUUUGUUUACCUUUGGAGGCUGUGCUAUCAGUUGAAAAUCUAGUUUGCAAAAUACAGCAGUUUUGUUGAUAAGACAUCAAAUGUCGCAUUUUUCACGGAUUAAUACUUUCACUUUUGUGAUUAAUUAAUACUUAAAUGUACUUAGUACCCUUAUAUUUAGAUUUAGGUUGCAAUUGGAUGGAAAUUAUGAAAGUUGGGAGAAAAGAGCCAAAAAUGACCAAAAUGGAAUCAAGUAAAAGUUCAAGGACAAAGUUGCAAAUAAUCCAUAGAUGAGACGAGCGAUGGAAUGAAGAUUCAAGAAUGUUAGGGAUCAAUUGGAUGGGGAAAGAAGACAAGCAGAUGAAAUAUAACCAAAGUAUUAUCACAUGUCAACUUCCAUGCGAAAAAGUUAUGCUCCAGAUCUAGCCUAUGUUUGAGACCUGUUUUUGCCAUAGUAAACUUGCGAAUUGGAAAAAUUCUAUAUCUAACAAAAUUAUAGCCCUUUUCAUUAGCUUUUCAACCAAUUUGAAUCACCUCAACCGGAUAUCGGGAGAGAAAUUUAUGAUCAAAGUAUUGAAAGCUGUCCGGUGGAGAAAGCGGCAAAACCAUGCAGUCGCACAACUUGCUUCAAAGAACUUGAAGGCUGAAAAUAGUUGUUCUAUGUGACCUUAACCAUUUGAACCAUGUGGUCGCAUGGUUAAUCUCCGAGGCAUAAUUUUUAGUUUCCUAAUUUCAUUCAACUACUCAUAGAAACAAAAUCUUGUACAUGAUAUAUAAACCCCAAAUCUCGUCCAAAACCUAGAGAUCGGCCCCAAACCUAAUUUUCUCUUUUUUUGCUCUAGAUUUAUGAUCUGUAACUAAUUCACUUUGCUUGAUCGAAAGAGACAAAAGCCUUGGAACAAUUAUAACUGUGAGAUCCACCGAUUUUUAUUUUUUAAUUCAUAUGUUUAGUAUUAAAUAUUUUUCUGCAUGUAUUUUUAGGGUUGUUCUAUUUAAUUGUUAGGAUGCAUACUAGUUUAUUAUUCUCCACAAUCUAUAGCUAAGUUAAACAUCAAAUCCGUAAUUGUUUGAUUAAUUUAACUUGCAAAGCAAGUAGGAUUAAUGAUUUGCUGCUUUGAAAAUUAUUGAAUCUUAGGAAUAAUAUUUAUCUAGGUUAAAUGCAAUCACAUGUGCUUGUGUUAUCUAGUUCAUUGAUUUCUCUAGUUCAUAAAGCAAUUAUUGAAUUAAAUCUUUGCUCUUGUCUGGAAUUGUUUAUUAAUUAAGAUUAAUUAGAUCGCUUGUUUCUAAUUAAUUUAAACUAAGGAGAAAUAGGAAAUUGUUUCUAAUGGAAAAUGGAUUUCCACAAUGAAUGCUAAAAGUGUGAAUUAAUGAUUAUUUGUGGAUCAAUGACUGGUUACGCAUUUCCAAUGGUGGAUGUUGACUUAGAUCGAGGUUCGUUAGAUUGAUUUCAUUUAAUUCAUUGAUUUUCUUUGAUAUUAAUUAUUUUCCUUAAUAAUCGAUCGUUUCAAAACCAAAACCCCCCAUUUUCAUUAAUAUAGCAUGGAAAAUAGACUAAACACUUUUCUUAGGAUUGACCCUUACUUCUACCAUUGCAUUUAUUUUAAGAAGUAUAUGUUCUAAUUUGGGUGUCUACUACAGCACUCACCAUUUGUCUACAACAGAUGCGGGGUACAUGGCCAUUACAGAUGCAUGUAAGGAAGAUAUGUGGUUGAGAUGAUUGAUUGGUGAAAUAAGUGAAGCCUUACUGAUUUCUAUGUUCUACAAUAUAUUGUGAUUGCUUGUAGCAAUAUUGUAGUGAGCAAAGUUGAUGAUAAGGAUAAUCCUGAUAAUAUGAUGACAAAACUAUCUUUCAUUGCUAAGUUUGAGUACUGCUUGAACUUAAUUGGUGUUGGUCAUUGAUUUAGCCCAUUGGGGCUUAUUUGAAAGAGAAUGAGUGAUGUUUAUUUUAGAGAUAUGUGUUUGGAAUCCUUGUAUUGGAAUUUGGUUUGACGUGGAGAUUUAUUAUAGUUUGACCCAAAUCCUAAUAGGUAUUAGAGUUUUGGUUGAAUUGGUCUUUAAGAGAUCAUAAUCAUAGACCAGAAAGAAAAGUUGUCUCAUUUUCACUAGCCUGUCGCUAGAUGGCUGCUUGACUGGCGCCUGCAUAUUUUCUACAUAAACUUGUAGCUUUUCUGUCGCCUGCCUAGCGUUCGAGCAGCUGAGCUGUCGCCUCUGCCUCGAGAGCCAAGCUCAUUUCACUUUGUUAUGCGUUUUUGGACUCUUAUUCACCUACAACUUGAUUUAUAGGAUUUUAUAUAUAUAAGUAAGGGUUUGUACUAUUCUCAUAACAUUCAUGCAAUAUCUUGAGAGCUUUAAAUCUUAAUUGAGAAUAUUGAGAUCUUGUUGUAAGCACAAUUACUAUUGAUUAUAAUGGUUUUCUCUUCCUUUGUCUAUUAGUUUCGUACCAUCGAUUAUUGAAUUGACUGCUUUACUAUGCUACAUUACGAGACCCGUCUUACCUUUCCUUUCCUUUUCCUGCGGUUCUUCUCAUCUUAGGUUUCCCAUAAAUCUUAGUAUUCUUGUUUUGUUCUUGUUUAUUUCAUUAUUGUCAUUAUCUUUCGAUCAAUCCAUAACAUUCAGAAUUUGCAUUCGUUUGGUUUGCUAUGUUCAAUUAUUUUUUCGGCUUUUGCAAUGCCUCUGGCAACCUUCACAUUGUUAAGCUAGUUUGAUAUUAUUAAGUUAAGCUCAUGGACUAAGUGAUGUGUCUUAGUACUGCUGAAUGGAAGAAGAGUGUCACGUAACUUCAACCCUGAUGUAUAUGGAGAGUGUAAGGCAACCUUAUUUUGUUCAAUUGAUAGCACGAUGAUGCUUAAUCAUUUUAUUUAGCAAACUUUUAAAGCUCGCCAUCAUUAGUUUGAAGGGGCUUGUUAAAGAAUAUUGUAAUUUGUCUUGCUUUAUCAGGCAUAUUUUGGACCUUUCAUUUGUUAUGGUUAGAAGUCUAUUUCUAUCGUCAUAGUACACAUUGAAUAAUACGACUUUGUUGAGUUUAAGAUAUGCACGCAAGUUCAUGAUAGUGAAAAGAUUCCCCAUUCAUCAGCCAAACGUGGCAAAAUCAAAUCAAAUUGUCCAUAUCGUUUUGUUUUUUAGCAUUUGGACCUUCAGAUCGACCAUUAUUCGUGUGGUCAUUUAAUUUUGAUUCCAUCCAUAUAUAUAAAUUAUUCCCCGAACCCCACCCCCUGCCAAUCCUCUAAACAAGAAAAUAUUAUCUCUGAAAUUUUCUAGAUUUCCACAAAGAUAAAGACAAAAUUCUGAAUGUAAAUGAAUUAUUUUCUAUAAAAGCCAAAUAUAAGAUGAAUUAUUUCCACGUCUAGCAUGAAAUGGACAAGAUGAAAGAUCACAUGUGAAGCAGGGGACCAUAAUCCAACUUAUACUUAUUGGACGAGCUAUGAACGUCGAAUUUACUUUUGAGUCUAAAAAUUACUUAUUUCAAAAGUUACAGCUAGUUGCGUUAUUGUGAUGACUAUAAAAUAUGCAAAGACCAAGAAAAGUAAACAAACCUUUAUCUAUAACAGCCAAAUCUAGUCACUGAAGAUGAAAAAUCCAAAUCAAAGAGAUCAAUCAUGUAAAUAAAUAUCCCUACUUUCAUGAUGAGUAGAUAGACUUGUAAGUAGCUAAUUUGCUAUUAGAUUCCUUGACUCAUUCAUCCAACUAAAAUUCUCAAAUGCAGAAAGUUCUUAGUUGAACAGUAAAGGCUGAACACAUCUAUGACGACCAAAGUUCUCACGAGGCCUUGGGCAGAUAGGAACUUUCUAAUAUAAGAAGGGGCAUAGUAUUAGCUACGAACCUCGUAUAGGAAUAUCGAUGGAUCUUCCACAAUGGCUGAAGGAAUGCUUCCUGCUGUCCAUACUGUUGGCAUCAAUAUUACUGGUGCUUGGGUUCAAGUUUUUCUCAAACAAGAACUUCAAUAAACGAAAUCUUAAAACGCCCCCAAGCCCUUCAAAACUUCCCGUCAUUGGCAACCUCCAUCAACUUGGCAACGUGCCACACCUCUCUCUUUACAAUCUAUCCAAGAGAUUUGGCCCCAUAAUUAGCUUACAACUUGGUCAGAUCCCAACGGUAGUGAUUUCAUCAGCAAGAAUGGCGAAGGAGGCAAUCAAAAACCAUGAUCUUGCACUUUCAAGCCGACCCCAGAUAU